Molecule: long non-coding RNA, 59947 nt
Filed under: Malus domestica (apple)
Lineage: Eukaryota; Viridiplantae; Streptophyta; Magnoliopsida; Rosales; Rosaceae
Source: RNAcentral
UUUUAGUUGCUCUGACGCAACUUUGGUCGCACAAAGUAUGCAUCAACAGUCACAGAAAUGUCAACUGUAGGUCUGAGUUUAGCGCAUACUUUGGGAUUAGGAUUCUCUCCCUUUUUCUUUCCAUCUCCUUUCUUCUCCUUCUCUCACAUUUUUUAUUUUGUCUUUCUCUUUCUAUAAAAAAUUAAUAUAAGAUGUUGAAGUGGCUUAACUGUAACCGUUCAAAUAGGAGGAGAAGGAAAAAAAGAGGGAAGAGAAUCCUACUCCCUUGGUUGAUGGGUGCAUCAUUCUCCACAUAAAUUAAGGCUUGCUGAGUAAGGAUGUAAUCAAAUCGUGGAGACCAUUUCCUUGAUCCCAACCAAGUUGUUGUUGAAAAGUUAUCAGCCAUGAAAGAAACUCCCCGUGCAUGCAUUAAAGGAUUCAAAGAAUCCACAGACUCAAUAACACUUUCAUUAAUGAUCUCCGAACAUGAAUGUUCUUUUUUAGGGUAAUGCUAGGGAAACAAAAAAAUUUAAACCAAAUUUACAAAUCAAAUGAUGUGUCACCAAUAGGAAAUAAGCAAGUUAAUCAAUGCUUAAAUAAUAAUCCAAUCAUUAACAAUCAAAUCAUUUGGUUUGCAAAUUUGGUUUAAAGAAUUUGGUCCUCCUAGUAUUAUCUCCUUUCUAAACAUGUGACCUGAUAAUGAGCCGAUUAGUUAAUGCUUUGACAAUCAGUUAUUUUCGUGUCGUUUCGGAUUGGGUUAACAGGUCGUGUAAGAAAUUAUCCGGUCUAUCAGAGACUCUCAAAAGUGAGACUAUUCAUGGACUCUCUAGAAACUUUUUAUUUCAAUUUUUGGUUUUUAGUUGAAAAUUGUAUGCAGUUACCAUAUAAGAUUAUUUCAAAUAAAUAAAAACAGAAGUAAAGACAAAAUAAUGAUUAUCAAACCAUCCUUAAAUAAAGUAAAUCCAAGAUGGUUGAGGAUCUACGAUUACAUUUGAGAACACAAUGUGAACAAAUAUAUUACGCACACAAGGACAAAAGGUAAGCAUCAGGUCCCAAAUUAAAUGGAAGGUCAAUUUACUAAAAAUAAUCUAACAGGUCUAUAUCAACAUAUUUUGUAAGGCACGUACCACGCUGAUCAUUUUUUGGGGCACCGAAAUUGCUAUAAACGCCAUUCUCUCUACCACCUUGAGUAGUAUAAAUCGCAGAGCAAGUCUACCAUUUCAGUAUAUCUGCUCAUCAUCAUAUCCUUUACCAAAAUCCAGCUUGCUCCUACCACGCUAGCUAGCUACCCAUGGAGAUCCUAAACCUGCAGCUAUGGAAGUAUAUGUGCUUGGGCUUGAUCCUCAUGUUGGGAGCUUGGUCUUCUCAAGCCACUUCUCGCAGUCUGAAGGAUACAUCAAUGUACGGGAGAUACGAGCAAUGGUUGGCUCGUUAUGGUCGCGUAUAUAACGACAUCAAUGAGAUGGAAACUCGUUUCAAGAUAUUCAAGGAAAAUGUGGCGUUUAUAGAAUUUUCUAAUAAAGAUGCAAACAAACCUUACAAAUUAAGCGUCAAUCAAUUUGCAGACCUUACAAAUGAAGAGUUCAAAACCUCAAGAAAUGGAUUCAAGGGCCAUGAAUGUUCCACGAAGACGACUUCUUUCAAAUAUGAAAAUGUGACUGCUGCUUUGCCAGCAACAAUGGACUGGAGAAAGAAAGGAGCUGUAACCCCCGUUAAGGACCAAGGCCAAUGUGGUAAGUACAUAAACGUCUAGCUUCCUGCCAUUAAUUUAGAGAGACGCUAUAUAUAUUCAUCUUUAAUAUACUCCUAAUCUACUACUUUUGAUUCAAAUCGAAAUACAGGAUGCUGUUGGGCUUUUUCAGCAGUUGCCGCCACCGAAGGUGUUACACAGCUUACAACUGGUAAAUUGAUCUCUUUGUCUGAGCAAGAGCUCGUUGAUUGUGACACCGCUGGUGAAGACCAAGGUUGUGAGGGUGGCUUAAUGGACGAUGCGUUUCAGUUCAUCCAACAAAAUCACGGGAUUAGCACAGAAACUAAUUACCCCUACAACGGUGUUGAUGGUACAUGUAACACCAAGAAGGAAGCCAUCAUUGCAGCCAAGAUAACUGGCUUUGAGGAUGUGCCUGCAAAUAGUGAAAAGGCCCUUCUAACCGCUGUUGCUCAUCAACCUGUUUCCGUUGCCAUCGAUGCUAGCGGUUCCGACUUCCAAUUCUAUUCAAGUGGUGUCUUCACUGGAACUUGUGGAACGAGUCUUGACCAUGGUGUUACCGCUGUUGGAUAUGGCGUGAGCGAGGAUGGGACUAAGUAUUGGCUAGUGAAGAACUCAUGGGGUGCAGAAUGGGGCGAAGCUGGGUACAUAAGAAUGCAAAGAGAUGUUGCCGCACCUGAAGGACUUUGUGGGAUUGCUAUGUCUGCCUCUUACCCCACAGCUUAGUUAAUUAAAUCAAUGCCUACUAGGUGUUUUCCUUGUAAGUAGUCUGAUAUGUGUAAAAUAUUUAUAAGAUAAUUAUUGGGUAUUUCUCAUCUUAACUUAAUACUCGCUCCCUUGGUGAUCUGGUUUUCAAGAAUUCAUGAUCACACUCUUAGAUUUAUUAAAGAUUAAAAUUAAACACCCAAAGACCACAUUUGUUCUCCAUCUUGGUCACCCGGUGACCGAAAGAACAUAUGAUCCAAGUUGGGAUUGCCCUCCCACUAAUCAAAAGAAUUGCUUUCAAACAUCCAUUCAGGCAGCUGUUGGGCUUUUGCAGCAGCGGGAGCCGUAGAAGGAAUUAUUCAGGUUACAAAUGGUGAAUUAAACUUUGUCCGAGCAACAACUGGUUGAUUGUGAUACCGGCGGUGAAGACCUAGGUUGUGGCGGUGGCUACCUUGACGGUGCAUGCUUUUGAGUUAAUCAAUCAAAACCAUGAGAAUAGCUCCGCCACACCGGUGUUAGACGGUACAAGCAACACCCAGGCCCAUCACACAACCAAUAUAACUGGCCAUGAAGGCUUGUUAAUCUACCUGUUUCUGUUUACAUUGAUGUUGGAGGAGAAUAUUUCACGUCAGUCCUAUAAAACUGGUCGUUACAGGGGUAUGUGGACUAUACAUCGACCAAUGAUUUUCCACCGUUGGUCAAGGGAUAAGUGACGAUGAAGAUCUUACAUGGCAGGUAAACUGUGACGUGAUGUCCCGUGUCAAUGAAAUAAAGACAUGUUAUUGGCGCAGGACGCCACUAGGACAACAUGCCAGUGCCGUAUACGCCCUAUAUUAUCGUGUCUUGGAUUGUAUCCACAAAAGAAGCACCAAUUUAAGAAAUGCAAAAAUUGAAAACUACAUCCGUAAACCAAUAACCAGACCUUCUAAGGAACCACCAUCCGCAGUAACAUUAUUAAUAUUUUAACUACUUAGUACUACCACAAAAUCAUAACACAACAUUCAGCGUUAAACACAACUUGCAAUGUGAUGUACACAUGAUCAGUAAAAACAGAAUAAACUAGGACAAACUACAGCACACCUUAAAUAUGGAGCCAAACGGAAUUCAUAGGCCAGCUCACAGGCAGUAGGUUCGUCGAGUUUUAGUUGCUCUGUCGCAACUCUGGUCGCACAAAAUCUGCAUCAGCAGUCACUGAAAUGUCAACUGUAGGUCUCAGUUCAGCGCAUACUUUGAUGGCUCCAUGCACUGGAUCUGACAUGAAGUUGCUGAUGAGGUCUCGGUUGAUGGGUGCACCAUUGUCCACGGAAACUAGGGCCUGCUGAGUAAGGAUGUAAUCAAAUCGUGGAGCCCAUUUCCUUGAUCCCAACCGAGCUGUUGUUGAACAGUUAUCAACCAUGAAAGAAACUCCCCGUGCAUGCAUAAAAGGAUUCAAAGAAUCCACCGACUCAAUAACACUUUCAUUAAUGAUCUCUGAAUAUGAAUGUCCUUUCUUCCUCAAUACUUCGAUCUGAAAAUUCAUAAAAGCAAUUCAAAUCAAAUGCAGAAGAAAUUAUCCCCAGUUACUGACAAAAUCAUUUAUUUCUAUUACGACAAAGAUAAAAUAACAUCACCGCAUUUAUGUUCCAAGGAUCUGAAGGUUCAAUUGAUAGAAAGAAACCUAUAUUUGCAUUACGAAACAAUACGUGUGUUCAUUGUUUAGUUGAUGACCUAAAAUAUAUAUUUGAAGUAGAUGUUUCAUGAUUUUGACUAGAUACAUUGACAGAAAAAUAACCCUUUACAAAAUCCACAUUCUUAACUAUAGGUCUAAACCUGAUAUGCAUCUUAGUCUGAGAAAAGUAAAAACAUCAAAAUAUUUUCAUAUACCAAUCUUUUGUUGCCAAUAUUUUAAUAUUUUUUAGGCACGCACUUGCUAUUCGGACUAGUACACUCUGAGAUCAGAACAAAAGGAAAAAUUCCAUUCAUGUGUAAGCAACUCGGAACAAUUGCUUGUUGGAAGCUAAUUUCUUCUUUUGCAAUAUCACAUUCUCACCCAAUCUAAAGGGUUAGGCUCGUACCUGCGCCAUCAUUAAGGCAACAAAAACACCUGCAGUGAAAGGGUGUAACGGGCCUAGAUCACCAGCUGGCCUUGUUGAUCUGACACGCUCACCGACUUUCCACAUGCGGGUCUGAUCAAUUUUACCCAUUGGGAAUGCAGGCAGACCCUCCUUCUCCUGUAACAAAGGUAUGUUCAUUAUCAAUUGCAUGACAUUAAUAUUCGUUUACUUAAAAGUAUUCAAAGAACUAUGACUCUGAGAAUCAUGUACUUCUAAACAACAAUAAUCAAAAUUUGGGCCUUCAACAAUUGAAAACAGAUGGAGAACAUACAUAAAAGCGACGACCGGCCAAGACAACACUGCGGAUCUCGCUGCCACUGGCAACAUCUUCAUAGCAUUCAUACAGGAUGUCCAUGCAUGGAUAAAAUGAGGCGCUAUAUGCAGCCUCAAAUUCCUUUUUGCCAUCUUCAGACAAAGAGUUGUAAAUCUCUAACAUUCCCUGUUGGGAAAAAUAAUAAAAACAAUAACCACUUGUUCUUAAAUUGACAUACAAGCACAGACGUGCAAGGAACACACAGAUGUAAACUACAAAUAAUGAAAUUCAUGUGUGGACAGUACCUUAGUUGAGAUGGUCCUUGACACAAUUCCAGUUAUACAUUCAACAGUGUUUUUAUAAGCCAAAUCCUCACUCAUUCCAUUUUCAGUGUACCUUCUAAACAGGGACUCCACAAUUCCAUGAACAGCACCAAGUAAUAUGCCUACAAAGCAGAGAAGAAGAGGUGACAUAUCAACUUUACUGGAUUCAAAGCAUAAGCAAAGAAAAGAGAAAGAAAGUUACGAUGUAGCAAAUAAAACAUACCUCGUUCACCAAAGAUGUCACUUUUGUAUUCCUGCUCUAGUGUAGUGGCAAAUGUGAAAGGAGAACCAAGGGCAACUGACCAGCCCAGGGCCACAUCUGUGGCUCUACCAUCAACAUCCUGUACAAACACAGCACAUUUAGUAUCCAGGAUAUUGGGCCAGAAAAUAUGUAGUCAGAGAGAGAGAAAGAGAGAGAGCUGACCUGGUGGACUGCAAAACUGGAAUUAAUUCCGGCACCAUUUAUCUCUUUGCCUUGGACAUAAAGUCUCCUUACAGAUGGACCCAUCCCCUUGGGACAUACAGCAAUUACACUGAAGUUCUUGGGAAAGUCAAGUCCCACUGACUGCAAAUGCCCUAGAAGAAAACCAUGGGAAAGACCAAGUAUACUAUUUGGUUUCAUGUGUGAAAAUAUUUUCUCAUAAUUAUCGGCCUGCAACAUGAGACAAAGUUAAAUCCUUUCAGAAAGAUGCUUCUUAGGGUAGCCAGAAAACAGGCCCGUUCACCCACACACUCACGACUUCAUUCCAUUAGAGAUUACUUUCUGUAAUAUGGCCUGAUUCUCAACAAAGUGAAACUUCACCAAGCAAACGUUACUUAGGUUAGCAUGGCAGCAAAUAAUUUCCGACCAGCAAAACAAAAUCAUGCAUAAUUAUGAAGAUAUUCAUGAGAUGACAAUUACAUGCAGAUAGCCUAAUACCACUCUGGUUUAAUGCUAACAAAUGACUUGUUACGAACUCACAUGGUAGAGAACUUAAAAAACACUUGAUUAUUAACACCAUCAUUCAACAACUUUCAGCACAUAUAGUUCACAAUAUUAUAUCAAAGAAAAAACAAAACAAUAUAGUAAUCGGAUUAUCAGUACUUCAGUCUUUAUGUUUAUUUUCCAAAGUGACUUGUUAGUAAGUACGAAAAGUCAGUAUCCAGGGAUAAGAAGAUAAGAGAUGGUUGAAAAUGAUAAAUGGAUUAGCAGACCCAAAAUCAUUUUAGCAGAAAUAGAAGUGCCGCUGCAACUACAAGUUACAGCCAAUAAUAGCAGAAAAACAAUAACCAAAAUUGCAAUCGACAGACCUGUGCAGAAUCAGAGAUUAGUAGCAACACGAGAUUACUGCCUGAGAUUGUUUCCCAUAUAUCCCCCAAAGUCCCAUUCUCCUCGGUGAAACCAGCUGCACGAGCUUCAGCAAAAGAAUGAGAACCCUUCCUGAGUCCAAUCUGUAAAGUCACAACAAAUUGAAUUAGUUAACAGCAAGACAUUGAAAAAUAAGUCAGUAACCAUAUCUUUUUUUCAUAUGAAAUAUAUUUUUAGUGUAAACAGAAAAGCAUUUACCUUGACAACAAUGUCAGACUUUGCUUCAACUAGAGAAUCUCUUAGAUUCUGAGCUUGAGCAGGUCCCUGAGGAAAAGAUAGGUUAAAGACCCAAAUAACAUAUAGUGACUGAGACAGAAAAACAAUAUACAUUCACAUUCUACAACAGUAAAAAAAGCACAGAAAAGAAUUACGAUACGUAACCACCCCCUCUCAAUUCAUACUGGAUUACCAUAACAAAUCUAUUGGCUUAGAGAACAACCGUAUGGAUACAGAAACGGAGAGAAAACCUAAGAACCAAUGCAGACCCAAAUACUAAUCAUGGUAUUAAAUAAAUCAACCAUUUAACAAAUAGAUAAAAUAUAUGAGAGAAAAUUCAUUCACCUGAGAACCCCAACCGAUAACACCAAUCUGCUUAAUACCCUUGAAAGCAUCGGGCAGCAAAUGGAACAGAUCCCUUCCUCCUCUCACAAUAUACUGCAGUCAGCAUCAAACCCACCACACACAAUCAAUAAAAAAUUCCAAAUGGAAAUCUUUCUCAAUCAUUAUCAGCAACAUGCAUACAGUUACAACAAAUAAAUACAGUUUACAUGUAAUCGCACAAAUCGGCGGAAAAUCACUUAACAUUUUGGCCUCCUUUUCCAUUCCAACCAUUCGUUUGUUUGUUUGUUUGUUAAUGAUGAGUACAGAGAAUAUGCACAAAAGCUAUCAGGCAGUAUAAAAAGCUUCCCUUUCUUUUCCCCAACCCAUUUAUUCAAAUCCAAGCAAAACCUAUCAACUCAAUUUGUAAAUUAACUAAGCAAUAUCAUAAAUGUGUUAGUACAAAUAGACAGAUAGUGAGAGCGAGAGGGAGAGCGACCUCGUUGUGACCAGCGAGGUUGAUCUUCUCCUUGGUGAAAACAGAGGUAUCGAAAUCGAGAGGAGGGGGCUUAAUGGACGGCAUUGACACCAUGCCGUGGUGGGAUGAGGGCAAUAAUUUUGAUUAUUGAUUGCUUGAACUCCAACUGUCGAUCAAACUCCAAAUUCAAUUGAUUGAAUGGAAGGGGAGGAAAAACCUGGAGAAGAUUAGUAACCUAGAGUUAGAAAAACGUGGUGGGGACAAUAAUUGCUUUGCGGAUGAGUUUUGUGAGGAUUAGUAACCUAGAGUUAGAAAAAUGGGAUGCACAAUUAAAUUAAAUUGUCAUCAAGUGGGGCAUUGGGAUGCAAAACGGUAAACUUAAUUCAGUUGUCAAUCAAUUUUUUUGAAGGAAAAUAAUAAAAAUGGUUUGAAAACUUUGAGUUUUAACGAUAAAGACAAAAUAAAGGGUAAAGUGAAUAGUACCAAAAUUGACUUUUUAGUGUAAAAAUGUGGUUUUUUUUGUUAAAAUGAACAAUACCGAGAGCUUUUCAUUAAAGUUCUUUUUUUUUUAUUGUAGUUUAAUUAGGGUUGGUAAUUGGGAAUUAGAAUGCAAACAAUUAUUAUUUUUUUAAAUAAAUGAGUGGGGCCAUCCGCCCUUAGGCCUACACUAGCUCAAUCCAUGACGAAGUACACAUGAUAAGUGAAAACAUAAUAAAAUGAACCCUACACAAAGUAGUAAGGAUAGGAGAGAGGAUCCUCUCCGGAUCCUUCUUCUUCAAAGGCUGAGUCGGCAUUGUGGCUUUCCCAAAGUCGGUGUCGUGCUUCCUUGGAGUUUGCGUUAUGCCUAUCUGGUGUUGGUUAUCGGCAACAUCUACGUAAUAGUCAUCGACGAUCGUGGUUCUAUAAAACUGAGCGUGUAGAAGUUUCUCUAUAAACAAACAAAAAAAAUGAAGAAGAAAACGCAGAAUUGAAAAAGAAGGAUUGAUGAAGAAGAAGAAGAAGCAGAAGCAAAACUGCAGAAAAGAAAGAAGAUCGAAGAAGGAGAAUCCGAAGGGUUUGGUUAUGAAGAGGAUUCUCUCCCUAACGAUAGAAUUUGAUGGCUUUUUUCCUCGCUUUGACGGUUUCACUGCACAGUUCAUGAUUGCUUCCUUCCUUCACUCAUCUCAUGCGAACUCGAGGCGGGAUUGUGUGCCUAUACCUCUCGAGGAAGGCCUGAAAUAGCUCAUUGGAAGGGGUAAAAUAAGUACAAGAAAAGAUUUGAUUAAGGGCUGGUUUGGUAUUGCUAUGUUUUAAAAACAAGCUGUUUCUGCUGUGCUGUGAGAAUAAGCAGCUGUGAAAUAAAGCGACAGAGUGUUUGGUAAACUUUUUUGUAAAAGUACUUUUGGAAAAAAAAGCAGUAUGAUAGUGUUUGAUAAAUUUUUAUGCAAAACAGUUGUGACGAUGUGAAAUGUCCAAAACCAAGCUUAUUUAUCUAUUAUGUUGAUGCACAAAAUCAAUGAGGACUUUGGUACAACAGAAAGUGUUAAGUUUGUGACCUUCGCUAGAUUGCUCCGGUCACUAGUGUGGAUAAGUAUGUAAAUGGAUAGAGACACGGAAGCAAAUACAAGAUGUACGUGGUUCACCCAUAUUGGCUACGUCCACGGAGUAGAAGUUCUCAUUAAUUGUGAAGGGUUUACACAAGUACAUGGGUUCAAGCUCUCCUUUAGUGAGUACUAGUGAAUGAUUUAGUACAAAUGACAUUAGGAAUUAUUAUAGGAGAAUGAUCUCCUUUUAUAGAAGAGAGUUUCUAGUUUUGUUCUGGCCUUGACACGUGUCAUGCUAUGAUUGGCCUUUGAUGUUGACACGUGAUUGGCCUCUUGGUGUUGACACGUGCUGCGGUGAUUGGCCUUCUGGUUGGAGGGAAACUCUUAUGGGUCCUUGACGGUAUAACGUUGACCGGUGCUUGGUAGUUUCGGGAUUGGUCAAGUAUGGUACAAACAGUGCUCCCCUAAGUUCCCGAGUGAGGGAAGCUCCUCGGUUGGGGACUUGCAAGAUCCAAGCCACUGAGUAAUCACGAAACUUCUAAGUACUGAAGUAUGGUAUCGUUUUCACUUGCCUUAUCUGUCUCAUAAGUAGAUGUGGCAUCUUCUCUGUAAGUAUUUUUCCUCCGUCCAGGGAUGGUAUCUUUAACCGAUGGAGAUGCACAAGGUAAUGUAUCAAUUUCACUUGAAGCUUACUUGUAUUUUCGGGCUUGGUCGAGCGCGAUACAAACCCUAUAGUAGGAGUCCCCCAAGUCUCUGAGCGAGGAGAUCUGCCGAAAGAGGUGACAGACAAAGUAAGUAAUCAGAGUUCUAAGCAGUCAGUCUUAGAUCGAAAGUUUGAUCUCGUGUUCCGACUAAUUGUUCUCAUUCUCCUUGUUAUAUAGACAUCAUCAAGGACAAAGAAAAGGACAUGGAGAAAAGAUGAUAUGAGAUACUUUUGCUUUUGAAGAAGUAACUUUCCAUAGGCUUAUUCUUGAACUGGGCUAGAGGGUUUUCUAGUUUCCUCCAGAGUAUAAUGCCGACUCAAGAAUUUGAGGGUCAAAACAAGUCCAUCAAAUCAAUAAUGCAUUCGACCUUGAUGAUAUGAGAUACUUUUGCUGUUGAUAACGUAAUAGAUGAAUCGGCACGUGUUCUGUUGCGCUUGUCUCCACAUGCUUCCUUAUAUCCUUCUCACUUGCCCUAUAUGUUCCUUAGGCAGAUGUGGUAUCUUUUCUGGAAGCAUAAGAUGUUGAAGGUCGACAUAUAUAGGAAUUGUCCUAAUAGCGAGUAGUAACGCUAUUCAUUUACCCUUCUCGGUCAUAGCAAUGUAGUGGGAGCUGCAAGAUUCAUGUGUUUUAACUUUGUCAGAGCACUUUGAAAAAGUGGUCUGUGGUAUCUGGAAAGCUGAUGUUGAGUGUGAAGAUUGCAGACAAGCUUUAUCCAAGGAAAUCUGGCUCUCGAAGUUCGGAGAGCGGUGCCUCUUCGGUUUUUAAACAAGCAAUCCUGUCGGGGAUCUGGUUCUCGAGAUUCGGAGAACAGUGCCUCUUCGCUUUUUGAGAAAGCAAUCCUGUUGGGAGUCUGGCUUUCGAGAUUUGGAGAGCGGUGCCCCUUCAAUUUUUGGGAAAUCAAUCCUGUUGCGAGUCUAGCUUUUGAGAUUUGGAUAGCGGUGCCUCUUCGAUUUUUGAGAAAGCAAUCAUGUUGUGAGUCUGGCUCUUGAGAUUCGGAGAGCGGUGCCUCUUCGAUUUUUGAGCAAGUAAUCCUGUUGAGAGUCUGACUCUUGAGAUUCGAAUAGCGAUGCCUCUUUGAUUUGUGAGCAAGCAAUCCUGUUGGGAGUGUUUUAUUGAAUGUGAGUAAAGGUUGGGCAAUUUUGCCAGUCUGCCUUGCCACGGAGCCCGGAGGUUGACACACAUAGAGAUUUUCCAAUUAUCAAGCAGUGGUGUUGUUCCUUUACCCUUAUAGGUAAUAGUAGGGUAGCUGGACCUUCAAAAUUUAUGUGUCUAGACUUUGUCAGAGAUCUUUGGCAAAGUUAUCUGUGGUACCUGAGGAGCUGAUGUUGCGUGUGGAGAUCGUCGACAGAUUUUACUUAGGAAAAUCCAUUUUUUGAAGUCCGAAGAGUGGUGCCUCUUCGAUUUUUGAACCAACAGCCAUGUUGCCCUUUCUUUUAUAGGGGCACCAAUUGUGUUUAAGAAGUACGUUCAUAGAGUUAUUGCUUGUAUGAAUUUUCCCCUUAUUUUUAUAAUUCAGAGAUUUAUUGGACCUCAUUUCUCAUUUAUCAUUUCUGAAAAUGUUUGGCCCAUCCGACUGUUGUUUUGACUUGAACUUUGGUGAAGAGGCAGCCAUGCCUCCUCAAGACAACAUAUAGUGUCCAUCCUUCUUAUCCCCUACUGGUCCUCUUACCGUUGGGGACUCUGUGAUGAAGAAUGAUAUGACUGCUACGGUGGUGGCUAGGAAUAUUAUCACUCCCAAAGAUAACAGACUACUUUCCAAACGGUCUGAUGAGUUGGCUGUUAAGGAUUCUCUAGCUUUCAGUGUUCAGUGUGCAGGUUUUGUGUCUAAUAUGGCCCAACGCCCAUUUGUUCGAACCCGCCAAGUUGAAUCAUUGGCGGCUAAAGUGAUAAGUCUCAAAUAAGAGAUUAGAUGGCUCAACCAUGAGAAUAAACAGUUGCACAGGCUCGCACAUAACUAUGCUACAAACAUGAAAAUGAAGCUUGACUAGCUGCAGGAAUCUGAUGGUCAAAUUUUACUUGAUCAUCAGAGGUUUAUGGGUUUGUUCUAAAGGCAUUUAUUGCCUUCGUCUUCUGGGGCUGUACCACGUAAUGAAACUCCAAAUGAUCAACCUGCGGUGCCUCCUCCUUCUGGGGUUCUGCCCAGUACUGAAGCUUCGAAUGAUCACCCUCCGGUGCCUCCUCUUUCUGGGGCUCUGCCGACUGUUGAGACUUCUCCUGAGCAACCUUUGUGAAUGCUCUAUCUUGUUUGUUUAUUUUGACUCAUGUAUAUGUAUAUAUUUGUAACUUAUCGGAGGUAUCAAUAAAUAAGAUUUGCUUCAUUUCAACGUAUUGUGUUAAAUACAACAAGGUCUCCUUCACUAAAUUCUUUGAAUUUUUUCUUUUGUUGAAUCUUGUAUAUUGAAGCUUUGUGAGUGAAGCAUGUAGGUUGAGGUAAUGCUCCCUUAAUUUCCUGAGUGAGGAAAACUUCUCGGUUGGAGACUUGAAAAAUCUAAGUCACUGAGUAGUCGUGAAACUUCCAAGUACCGAGGUGUAGUAGCAUAUGGUAGGAGUCCCCCAAGUCUUCGGUCGAGGGAGUUGAUGAAGGAGGUGUCUUGCUUGUAGAAGUUGUCUGAAUUCCCUUUUCUUUAAAUAUUUGCCGAAUGGCUUGUGUGACAAAAGAUCUCAAGCGGUUGAGAGUCAAAACAUUUGUAAUGUGUAUGCCUUCUUAUAAUAGCAUUUCCUUUGGUACCUAGUCCUCCACUUUGAAAGAGUGAGGCUUGGCCACAUAAUCAUAAUAGUCGACGGUACGUUCACCCUUGGUUGUCUUGAUACGAACUUUUAUCCCUCUUGUUGUAAUGGGCUUGCUGAAAGUAAAAAUCCUUCCUCUUACCAAGAGACAAAUACGUUUGGUGACUUAGCGAGUAGCUAAAUGAGGCAGGAGAUGAUGCAAUAGGUUUCUGAAUGGCUAAGAUCUCUUCAAUUGGUAGAACUUGACUUCCACUUCCCACUUGUUUAUAGGGGUUAACCAUAUGGGGGUUCCCUUAGUAUGUCCUUGCUUUGACAGAGGCGUAGUUGUAAGCAUGUGCCAUCACCUCAGAGUAAGUCUUCAAAGUGUUGGCAUUGAUCAUGUACUUAAAGAAAAAAUCACGUAGGCUUGCCGUGAAGGCUUUGAGGGCGGUCUUGUCAUCUGCCUCAGCGCAGCAAGAAUACUCAUGGCUAAAGUGAUCGGCAUACUCUUGUAAUGACUCGUUCGGCUUCUGGCGAAUAAUGUAUAAGUCAUCUGCAGAAUGUAAGCAAUCGGUUUGGAAGAUGUGUUGAGAGACAAACAGUUUCCUUAGUUCUUCAAAUGAGUCUACUGUCUCAGGUGGAAGAUGAAAAUACCAGUUUAAAGCUCUGCCAGAGAAUGUGGAAGGGAAGGGAAGACAUCGUUCUUCGUCGGUGCGCAUCCGAUAUGCCUUGGUGGACUCAAAGAGGUUAAGGUGUUCAAUCGGAUCUUCCCUUCUAGUAUAGAGUUGUAAACCAAGCUUUUGUUUUAUUUUCUCUUGAAGGGGGUGUCAAGGAUCCUCCUUGUGAGAGGGCCAGACCUGGGUUGGUUUCAGUCAGGUAUCUCGGCCUGACGUGCGGCCUUCAACUUGUUUACUUCCUCAAAGAGCUGUAGAAUAAAGGGGUCUUGAGUGAAGUCAUGUACCACUGAAAUUUUCUUUCGUAAGUAUCCAUUGUCUCUCGAAAGUAGGAAAGUUUAAGCAGGAGCGUGUGAUUUUUCCUUGGAGUCGCCGUACUGACUUCUAGGGCAAGUCUGUCGGAAUACCUCCGAGUCCCCUGUACCUUUAUGUUCCUCUGGGACCUGUCGUUCUUUCUUUAGAUGGGCAACUGGCAUGGGUCGUAGGAGGGGACCGAGUCUUUCAGAAAUUCUUGGGUCAUUGAUCUUCGAGUUUAUGUGGAGGGGAUUCUCUCGACGUUAUUUUAGAAAGUCUCGGCAGUCACGAUAAACAACUUUCGAUCAUUCCAACCCUUCUAUAAAAAUGUGUCUUCCUCCACUUCUCCUGUUUUGGGUCGAAGCAGCUGGGUUGAGAGUAGUCUCAUGUUGAUCAAUGUUUUGAUGAUUAGCUCGCUCCUCAUCAGGGAUACCCAUGUCAAAUGAAGGUGACCCUCUGUGUUGGGGGGCACCCAGAUGAUGGUUGAUGUCCACAGGGGUAACAAGCUCGCGUGUUUGAGUACGCCUAAUUUCGUGGAACGUCUCGAAGAGCUUCUCAUAGUGUUCUUGGAGGAUCUCAUUCUUUAUUGCUAUCUUGUUGUUCUGAGCCUCCAACUCCUCGACUUUAGCUUGAAUAACGAGCUUAUUUCCUUCAUUCUUUCGUUGCUUUGCGCUAAGUGCAAUAGGGGUGUCAUUCUGUGUGUCGUGGCUUCCUUCGCUCUCCCCAUGUUGGAGAGGGAUGCCUGGUCAAAAAAGAGUGUACGAAUGGUGGAAACCAGCUUGACAAAGCCGAAGAUAGUGGGAAUAAGUGUCGUUCCCACAGACGGCGCCAAAUGUUGAUGCACAAAAUCAGUGAAGACUUUGGUACAACAGAAAGUGUUAAGUUUGUGACCUUCGCUAGAUUGCUCCGGUCACUAGUGUGGAUAAGUAUGUAAAUGGAUAGAGACAGGGAAGUAAACAUCAGAUGUACAUGGUUCACCCAGAUUGGCUACGUCCACGGAGUAGAGGAGUUCUCAUUAAUUGUUAAGGGUUUACACAAGUACAUAAGUUUAAGCUCUUCUUUAGUGAGUACUAGUGAAUGAUUUAGUACAAAUGACAUUAGGGAUUAUUAUGGGAGAAUGAUCUCCUUUUAUAGAAGAGAAUUUCUAGUUUUGUUUUGGACUUGACACGUGUCAUGCUGUGAUUGGCCUUUGAUGUUGACAUGUGUCGCCCUGUGAUUGGCCUCUUGGUGUUGACACGUGUUGCGUUGUGAUUGGCCUCCUGGUUGAAGGGAAACUCUUAUAGGUCAUUGACAGUAUAAUGUUGACCGGUGCUUGGUAGUUUCGGGAUUGGUCAAGUAUGGUACAAACAUAUUACAUUUUCUUUUACUUUUCUAGAACGCUCUCUCUAGAAUCAUCUCCAUUUUUUUCUCAUUCUCGUCCAACUGCCUCUCUGUCUCUCUCUGUCUUUACUUUUUCUCUCAUCACCAAAUUCCAUUCUUUUCGCCACUUUCUCCCUCAUCAUCAAAGAUCUUUGGUAGAGAUGAAGUUGGGUGGAGCAGAAAAGGGACGAUAAAGAUGAAGGGAAAAGCUUCCUCCGAGAAAUGGGAGAAGCUUCUGGAAUUUCGAAGCUGAUUUCGUACAGUGACGAUCUAGUAAAGGUGUUGAAGGACCAGAGGGACAUCAACAACUUGGCGCAAUGUCUCCAGCACCGCAAGGCCCUCCGUUCCUCCUGCGAUUCCGAUUUCAAUGAAGUCCAGAACUCACUUCAAGGUUUGUUUACUCACUUGGGUUCUGUUUGUUUCCCGAGAAAAUUUUUGACCCAGAAAAUUUUUAGUUAGUUGCUUAAACCUUUUUCCACUUUCAAGCAAGCUAAAUUAUGCCUUAGGUAAAUCUAGGAUUGUAUAGUUUAGAAACUUACUUUGUGCACACCCGUAGAGAGCUCUACCUCAAAAUGUAGGGUUCCAACCCAUUUUCCGGGAAAAUGUUUUCUUAAAGGGGGGACAGAGGGGUUAGGUUUCUCAGAAAUGUUUCUCAGAAAAAAGAUAUUUGGCUGGUGUUGUAUGUCGAUAUGGGCAUUGAUUGAUGAGUUCUUAUAUGAAGCAGACUAUAAGAUAAAUGGUAGGAUUGCCAGAAACUUUCAUUAAAGGGUCACUGUUCACCCGUGUUUUAGAGGUUUGAGUAGAAGCACAUCGGAUUUUUUGAGUAAUGGAUACAGCCAUACGUAACGGGUGUGAUCGUCCACAAUGGAGAGAUAAAAUCUAUAUCCAAAAUUUGACAAAACAGGUGCCAGUCCCUAAAUAUCCAAGUGCAAUAAUUCUAAUGGUUUUUGUGUAUGAGAAGUGCGAUUACAGAAAGGUAAUCUACAAGAUUUUCCCAUGGGACAAACAUGGCAAGUUUUAUUAGAAUCAAUCUUACCACAAAUAGGUAAAUGGUGUUUAUUCAAAAUCAUCCGAAAUACAUGGUAAGACGGGUGUCCAAGGCGAGUAUGCCAAAUGUCCUGAGUCGUCUUUUCUCCAUAGAAAACUAUUCUCUGUAACUUUUGGGGCUGCACGGAUGUGAUAGAGGCCAUUGAAGUUACUGCCAACUAGAAGAACCUUCCCCGUCUUGUUGUCCUUGACACAAAAACCAUAAGCAUUCAUGAUGAUAUAAUAGUCAUUAUCGUGAAAAAAUCUUCAAAUAGAUAAUAGAUUUUUCCGAAUGGCUGGAACACAUAAAACCUCUUUAAGAUGCAAUGAACUCAAUGGCUUUCUAUCCCCUAAUAUACAUAAUAGAAAGGUGAGACCCAUUACCAACAAUGAUAGAAUCAGUACCUGUAUAAGGAUGCACGUUAGUGAGUGCACGAGGACCAGAAAUCAUGUAGUGGGUUGCUCCGGAGUCAAAACACCAAUCAAUUGGGUUUGAGGUAGCACCUGAGUGAUCAUUCGUGUAGGCAUAGUUGCCUCGUUGAGGGAAAACACGAAAAUUAUGACCAUCUUUUCCAUAUUCUUGGCAAGGGACAUCAAAUUGAAAUGCAGAGGAAUUUGAUAAUGUUGGGAGCAGCGGUGGACGAUUAUCCAAUAGAAUUGGAUCGUGUCGUGGGUUUCCAUGAUACAGGAUGCCAUUUGCAUUAUUAUUUUGCUCCCAUUAAUUACCACCAUUGCGGUUGUUCCACUAACCACCAUCACGAUCACGAUUAAAGUUUCUUCCAUAUUCAUGGUGGUCAAAGUUACCACGCCCAUUGUUCUAGUUACAACCGCGUCCGCGUCCGUGUUUGUGUCCCUUGUAGUUGUUGGUUUGAGGCAUGUUUAGGAAGUUCUCGAGAGAACAAUCCCAUGAUGGGUGACCCACUAGGAAGUUCUCGUGUAAGUUCCCAGAAACAAAACCAUGAGGGCGUGAUCGGGGCCUAAAGCAGACAAUAUCAUGCUAUAACGGCCGGGAUGUGGUGAGAGCCUGGACCGAGAUGUGACAAUUUGGUAUCAGAGCCAAUCCCUGGCCGGAAGUGUGCCGACAAGGACGUCGGGCCCCUAAGGGGGUGGAUUGUAACAUUCCACAUUGCCUAGGGGAGUGGAUCUUGUAAGCCUUAUAUGUAUAUUCCUAACUCUACCUAGCACGAGACCUUUUGGGAGCUCACUGGCUUCGGGUUCCAUCGGAACUCCAAAGUUCAGUGAGUUCGCGCGAGAGCAAUCCCAGGUGGGUGACCCCUUGGGAAGUUCUCGUGUGAGUUCCCAUAAACAAAACCAUGAGGGCGUGGUCUGGGCCCAAAGCAGACAAUAUCGUGCUAAGGCGGAGUCGAGCCAGAGAUGGGGUAGGGGCCCGGGCUGGGAUGUGACAAUAUGUGGCAAGUGCAACUCCGUUUGAUAAUGAAAGUGCUUCCAUUCUUUUAUGGAGUUGUUCUUCUUGAAGGAGUAGGUCAAAAAAAUCAUCAAAACUGAGAGUUUGACGAAGAUGAAGGGAAGUGGUGAACUCUUUUAUACUCAUGACCCAGACUAUGCAAUAUAUAUUCAAUUAGUUCGUUGUCUGUCAUCGAGGUACUAGCGAAUGCAGGAGAGUUAAAAAGUGACCGAGCAUGUAUAAGAUAAUCAGGCAUCUAUUGAUCCAGAGUCUUUUUUAGGGUACGAAUUUGGUCUCUGAGGGUUCGUACAUGAGUCUUAGAGAAAGGAGAAAACCUCUUUUGGAAAAGAUUCCAGGCUUCGAAGGUAGUCGAACAUGGAAAAAGAAUAGUCUUUAUUGAGGGAGAUGUUGUGGCCUUGAUCCAACUGAGCAUUAGCUUGUCUUUCAAGUAGAUAGGAUUGAGUGAGCCAUCAGAUAAGUUCUUGGCAAGUUUAUCUUCAAGUUUAACAAUAACACCAAGAUCAUGAAGUUCGAGAACAUCCUCAGAUUGUGGCUUCCAAUUAAAAAAAUUUAUGCGAUCCAUUGGUGUGGUGAAGAUAUUAGAUAUAUUGAAGGAGGUGGGAAGAGCAGAAGUGAAGCACGCCAUGGCAAAUUGAGUCUGACUGUCAGAGGUUUGAGAUGCACCAGAUGCAGCGGAAAAGAGAGCCGAGUUAUCAGGGUUUGCCAUUGAUAGUUAGCAAACGAAAAGAAUAAGAUCAACUGAUUGGGUGUUAGCCCUUUUUGGGCUCUGAUACCAUCAAGAAAUAUGUACCAGUGAGGUUUUAGAAUGUUGCGGCAAGAAAGGUUUUAUGUUGGAAUUCUUGACUGAUCUAUUAGUCAUGGUAUUCAUAUAUAUAUAUAUAUAUAUAUAUAUAUAUAAUUACAAGAACGUUAGGCCCCUAAGGGGGUGGAUUGUAACAUUCCACAUUGCCUAGGGGAGUGGAUCUUGUAAGCCUUAUAUGUAUAUUCCCAACUCUACCUAGCACGAGACCUUUUGGGAGCUCACUGGCUUCGGGUUCCAUCGGAACUCCAAAGUUCAGUGAGUUCGCGCGAGAGCAAUCCCAGGUGGGUGACCCCUUAGGAAGUUCUCGUGUGAGUUCCCAUAAACAAAACCAUGAGGGCGUGGUCUGGGCCCAAAGCAGACAAUAUCGUGCUAAGGCGGAGUCGAGCCAGAGAUGGGGUAGGGAAUCAGCCAGAUUCUUGUGAGGGUGGGCUUUCUUAUGUUUGCCUAAUUUUAGGAGAUGAAUGAGAUGAUGGGAAUUCGGCCCAAGUAUGAAAAUUGUUCCUCUCAUUGAAAUCUGCAUGCCUGUAAAAUUUGGUAAUUUUUUAAAAUAGUUGAAUUUUCCAAUGAGUCAGGGCGGCGCGUGAGCCGAGACCCCAUCAGCCCUUCCUAGACUAAUUUGGAUACCGUGAUUCCAUAUGUGAUGUCCGAUUGACAAAAUCUCAUUGUAUGACUAUAGUUUUGAUAGAGACCACCACUUAGUCAUCAUACAAAUCGACGAUUCGAUUGUUGGAUCAUCACCAAACCUUAACACGUUAUAGUACGUAAUGUUUGAUGAUCAUAGGAACUAACGGAUACGGAAUCCGACGAACGGAUCUUCCCAAAUUGAAUUUCUAAGUUUGUAAAACCAAACGUUGAUAGCAACCUAACUCUAGCAAUUAGCGGAGAUCCGACAGUUGGAUAGUUUCAAAAUUUUAUAGUAUUAUGCUAGAAGAUAAAUGAGACCCUUGAGAAGUUACAGAUUGGAAAUCCAUGGGCAGAUGUUCCAGAUUGACUUGUACAAGGUUGUGGACCCCACUUUUGACAAGGACUUGACUUUUGGUCAUUAUGCUACAAAUUGAUCUUAACUAUUAAAGUUUGUAUUACUAGAUACUAUGUAGGGCUUAGUGGGCCUAUAUUGGUUAGUGAGUUAUCCCAGAUAAAAUAUACAUCGAUUUACGUGUAUGGAACGUCAUAUUGUGAUAUAUGUGUUUAUUAAUCUUCUUAAUAAUGUGGAUGAUAAGUAUGAUAAAUGAUAUGACCAUGUGUUUCUAGAAUCCUAUUCGAAGUAUUAUGUAGAAUUUAGAAGCUUGUGUGACAUAUUACUUGGUGGCCAUGAGAAGUUAAUGGUGUAGGUGACUACGUUGUAACUCAUAGGAGUUGAGGUAUGGGUAGGUUGAGUGUUGAAUUUACUGCACCAUGUAACAGUGGUACAUGCAUGGUUCUUCUUGGUAUAUCCACGAUGAAGGGCCAUACAUAUUUCAGGGGCAAUCAUGCUUGGUAUAUCCGUGAUGGGUGAUCAUCGCUUGCACAAUUAGACUAAGCUUAUGGUUCUGCUUGGUAUAUCCGCGAUGGGGGACUAUACGCAUUCUCGGAGUAAUCAUGCUUGGUAUAUCCGUGAUGGGUGAUCACUACCUAGAGUUAUAGGAUAUAGUCAUGCUUGGUAUAUCAGCGAUAGGGGACUGUUAGGGGUUAUCAUGCUUUGUAUAUCUACAAUGGGUGAUCACUACCUACGUUAUUAGACUAUGCAUAUGGUUCUGCUUGGUAUAUCCACGAUUGGGGACCAUACACAUUCUAUGAGUGAUCAUGCUUGGUAUAUCCACGAUGGGUGAUCACUACCUAGAGUUAGGAUGUCGCCAUGCUUGGUAUAUCUCUGAUGGGGGACCAUACGUAUUCAAGGGUGAUCAUGCUUGGUGUAUCCGUGAUGGGUAAUCACUACCUGCACGAUGAAAUUAUGCCUAUGGUUAUGCUUGGUAUAUCUGCGAUGGGGGACCAUACGCAUUCUAGAAGUGAUGAGGAUUAGUGGUAUUUGGUACAUUUCGAUAGGCAAUCAUAUUUUGGUUGGAUUCCUUUGAGUGGUCCAGAAUACCUAUUCUUGCUCAUUUCCAUAAAGUUAGUCAGACCCUAGAUUCAAGUGAGUAGGAAUUGCUCACAGUAGACGUUAUGUUUAUAAAGUAGAAUUAUCAUGUUAUUACUUGGAAUUCAGGUAGGGAAUUAUGUAGAAUUCCUUCAUUAAAUUUCGUAUAUUGAAAUGCGAUCUUACUGAUUGAUUAAUGUAGUUAAAUGUUAAUAUAAUACACCUCUGAUUCUUACGAUUGAUUGAUUGGAGUGAUUGUGGAAUAAUGUUGGAUAUAAUUGUUAUUAUGAUGAUUAGACUCGUUGACCAAUGUGUCUAGAGAAUAACAUUGUGCUUCGUUGACUGUUCUUUAAGAUGUUGCAUACUAUGAAUUGUGGUAUUAGGUGAAACAUAGUUAUUUAUAUGAUGGAUGAAUUGGAAAUCUUGAUUGUCGUGUAGGUUUGUUAUGUAGCCCUAAAUCUAGUAAUUUCAUGCUUGUCAAGUUGUACUAAUUGAUUGAGGGAUGCUAUGUCUUUCGAUUAGAACGUAUCGUGAUAACAUCCGGGUGUAGGGAAUGGUGAAUUACGAAUGGCUUGAUCCCUAUUUAGGAUACGUAGGCAGUCUAAUGAGGAGGUUAGAUGUUGUCAUAAAGUAUACAAAAAUUACUAAGCAAUUCGAAUCUUGAAUUAUGCUUUGUACAUAUCCCGGAGGUGGGGUCUGUUGGAUAUACGAAUACUUGGUGACGUCACGUGUCAAUCCUAAACGUGUGUUGGGAUCGAGGAAUUGAAGUUCAAAACUGUCGAACUUGAGGUGAGCUUAAUCUGAUAAUAAAUGGAGUUGGAAUGUCAUUUAGUGUUUCGUUAUCUGUUGAAUUGUUGCAAUGUUGUGUAGGCCGACAAUGGAAAUUUCAAGGACGAAAUUUUUUUAAAGGGGGAAGAAUGUGAAAUCCCAUUCCUGGAUUUCACUGUUAUAAUCUACGUGUUUAUAUUAUUGAGAUUUUAUACUAUUUUCGGUAAUUUAUACUAAUUUAUUUGAAUUUAGAUUUCAGUUAAACUAAUUAGAAAGUUUGAAGUUUUGAAAAUAAUCAUAAAAAAAUCCGUGAACUUUUCAGGGUCAGACUAAAUAUAAUUGGAUAGAUCUCAGUCCUAUGAGCACAUAGGCGAAAGCCGUUUGCGAAUUGGAAUUAUAACGGAAAAGUUACGGGCAUUCAAAAUCAUUUUUCGUUUAUUAAAAUUUAAUUUAUAUAUUAAUUGAAUUCCUACCAGGUGGGAAUUCAGCCCAAUCAGAAAUAAGACCAAGAUAACGAUUCAUAAGGGAGGACUCAACCCAAUUAGAAGUGAGGUAAUAAGAACCAAUCUGAAGAAAGGAAAGGGGAGGCUAACCAUUGGGGGAGGAGAGAACGGAGAAACGGGAGGGAAAUGAGGAAGGUAGAAAACCAGGGGAUUCGGGCGACCUGUUUUCCCCCAUUGCGACCCGGUUGCCCGACGAAAAUUCUAGUGGUCUUCCGCCAUUUUUAGGCGAAUUUCACCAAACUAUCACCUAAAAAAUCCCCACCAGCCUUCCCUUUCCAUUUUACACCCAAGAUCGUUGGGGUUUUCGCCCCAUAUCGCGAAGAAUAGAAUCGUGGAUUCUGGUGACCCCACGACUAUGAUCCGCCACUCCGGCAACCCUCACCAUCAAUGACCACCACCAAAAGACUCCCCUCAACCUUAGGAACAAAACCCAAUCAGUGGUGGAGGCGUUGGAGUGCGUAUGGUGGCCGAAUCGAAGCACACCCAUUUUUAGGGUUUCCGGUGGUCCAAGGCUGAUUUCAGGUGUUUUCCGGCCGAAAAUUGGACAUUGGCCCAAGUAUGACAAUUGUUCCUCUCAUUGAUAUCUGCAAGCUUGUAAAAUUUAGUAAUCUGAGUCGGGGCUGCCGGCCGCCGCGGGGCAACCCUCACCAUCAAUGACCACCACCAAAAGACUCCCCUCAACCUUAGGAACAAAACCCAAUCAGUGGUGGAGGCGUUGGAGCGCGUAUGGUGGCCGAAUCGAAGCACACCCAUUUUUAGGGUUUCCGGUGGUCCAAGGCUGAUUUCAGGUGUUUUCCGGCCGAAAAUUGGACAUUGGCCCAAGUAUGACAAUUGUUCCUCUCAUUGAUAUCUGCAUGCUUGUAAAAUUUGGUAAUUUUUUAAAAUAGUUGAAUUUUCCGCUGAGUCAGGGCUGCCGGCCUCCGCGGGGGCCAAGACCCCACCUGCCCUCCCUAGACUAAUUUGGAUACCCUGAUUCCAUAUGUGACGUCCGAUUGACGAAAUCUCAUUGUAUGACUAUAGUUUUGAUAGAGACCGCCACUUGGUCAUUAUACGAAUUGACGAUCCGACCGUUGGAUCAUCACCAAACCUUAACAUGUUAUAGUACGUAAUAUUUGAGGAUCAUAGGAACUGACAGAUACGGAAUCCAACAUGCGGAUCUUUCCAAAUUGAAUUUCUAAGUUUGUAAAACUAAAUGUUUAUAGCAACCUAAUAUCUUAUUUGCCUUUACACUUGUUCUCAAAUUGAUAUACAAGAACGGAUGUCCAUAGGAGCACAUAGAUGUAAUACAUUGCCCAAAGCACACGGAUGUGCCUUUUCACAUUUUUCACACUUUUACAUUCAUUAUUAUGAAUUUUUAUUUAUUCUAAACUCCUAGAAACACAUUGCCCAAAACACACUGUUCACAAGGGUUUCUAGGAUUUUAAAAAGGGGUGUGCUAUCCACACACAUCUUUUUACUUCUCACACACCCCUUGUUAAUUUAUGUCCGUUGAUCUUCUUCAAUUCAUCCGAUCCGACGGCCGAAAACUAAAAAGGUGUGGGAGAAGUAAAAAGGGGUGUGUGGAUAUCACACCCCUUUUAAAAAUUCAAACGACAAUGUACCCAUCGUCAAAGUGUAGAGGAAGCGGGGUCACGAGCAUUUGCAUAUUUUUUCACAUUUUUCAUACUUGUGAUUAAUUAUUAUGAUUUUUUUAUUGUGCUUUGGUAUUUUUAAUAUACUUUGGCAUUUUUAACGUGCAUUGGAAUUUUUUAAUCUUACUUAUGUGAGAUUAAAUACUACGCCUCUUCUAGUAAGGUAUUUUGGUAGUUUAAAAUUAUCAAACUAACAUUUUCCUAUCGGAUUGAAAUGGGUUACCCAUGGAUAAACCUGUUAAGAACCCAUCAAUGAUCGGUACCCAAUUAGUUAACGUGUUAACCCAAACUCAUUAUUGUCAUGUCGUUUCGAAUCAGGUUAUCUAAUUGGGACUCUCUCAAAAGUAAGACUUCAGUUACUCUCUCAAAAAGUUUUACUUCAUUUUUUGGUUAUUAUUUGAAGAUUUUAAGUAUUUACCAAAUAAGAUUUCGGUUUUCAUAUUUCAAAUAAAUAAAAACUAAACUAAAGACGAAAUAAUGAUUAUCAAACCAUCCUUAACUAAAAUAAAAAUCCAAGAUGGCUGAGGAUCCACGAGUACAUUUCAGAACACAAUGUGAACAAGUAUAUUACGCACACAAGGACAAAAGGCAAUCGGCUUUUGUAUUCUUCAACAAUCUUGCAAAAAUUGGCUAUCGGCCUUAACAGACAAACUUGCAUAUAAGAAAUUUUCAUUGUGACAUAUAGACAAACAGAUGGAGUGCACGAGAUAGAAACGAAACCUGAAUCACCAUUUCCUGAUCGGAAAAGCCCAUCGAAGAUCAACAACCAAUGAUCAGAUCACAGCGGAACAAACAACCCAAGAAUCAAAACCGUCGGCAAAUGAUACCAAGAUAACCAUUCUAAAAUUAUGCAGAAAACUCAAGACUUUUGAAGAACACUUGAAGAACAAAUGAAAGAAUCUUUAGAGAGAAACAAAUGAGAAAGAUAUGUGUUAGUGUUUGAUAUGCUGAUUAGCAAAAGAGAAGGAGAGAAGAACAAUUCACAGAGAUGAUGGGAAAAGGAAUGGUUGCUCUUCCUCUCUCUGCAAAAUUCACAGAGGGAUAUUCUAUUUCAUUAAUGUUCCUCUCUCACUCGCACACAACGUGCACAAUGAAAUAUUACAGCUAACAAGAGCUGAGCUGGAUCAACACAUCAGAAAGAAAUGAUCUCAUCCAUUCAUUUACCUAACAACUAGGAUCAUCACACAUGGCACUCAUGGCCUUACAUCUUUUGACUUUACACUUGGUAGAUAUGCUCAAGUGAAUACACAAAUAAACUCAUCUUAUUUCACUAAUACUAAUCAUCUAUAGACUUAUAAUUCAACACUCCCCUUUAAGUCUUGAGCUGAUUUUACUCCAAGCAUAUUUCUGAGAUAGUUGAACCGAUCCUUAGCCAAAGGUUUUGUGAAAAUAUUUGCUAGCUGCACUUCAGUGGGACAGUACACCAAGUUAAUGAUUCCUUCCUGCAGUGCAUCUUUAAUGAAGUGAUACCUUCUAUCUAUGUGUUUAGUCUUCUGGUGAAACACAGAAUUCUUAGUGAUUGCAAUUGCAGAGGUGUUGUCACACUGCAAUGGAGUUGCUUCAGUUUGAAGUUCUCCAAAAUCUUCCAAUACAAAUCUGAGCUAGAUUGCUUGUGCAGUGGCAUUUGAUGCACUUAUGUACUCUGCUUCUGCAGUGGAUAAUGCCACGCAGCUUUGUUUAACUAAAGCCCAAGAAAAAACUCCACUUCCAAAAAAAAAUGCAUAACCGGAUGUACUUUUGCUAUCAUCUGAUGAUCCACCCCAGUCACUGUCGCAAUAGCCAAUCAACAUUGUCUUCUUGCCUUUUGUAUACUCCAAAUCAUAGUCAAGAGUCCCUUUAAUGUAUCUGAGCACACGUUUGGCAGUUCCAAAAUGCUUGCUAGUAGGACAAUGCAUAAAUCUAGCAAGUAGACUAGAUGCAUACAUUAUGUCCGGCCUAGUAGCUAUAAGAUAUAGAAGACUCCUUACAAUACUUCUGUAUAAUUCUUCACUUACUGCUCCACUUCCAUCAUCUUUGGUUAAUUUCUCAGUUGCCACAAGUGGUGUGAUCACAGAUUUGCACUCAUUUAGACCGAACUUGUUUAGUAAAGAACUUGCAUAUUUCUUUUGGUGAAUGAAAAUGCUAAAGUUGGUCUGAAUUAUCCCCAUUCCAAGAAAAUGAUAGAGAAGUCCCAAAUCUGUCAUUUCAUAUUUUCUUUUCAUGUCUUCUUUGAAUUCUUCAAGCAUCUGUCUAUUACUACCAGUAUAGACUAUGUCAUCCACGUAGAUAGAAACAAUCAGAAUGUCUUGCCCCUUUGCUUUGGUGUACAGUGUUGGUUCACUCAAACUUUUCUCAAAACCACACUGAAAGAAGUAUGUAUCAAUUUCUCCAUACCAGGCCCUUGGAGCCUGUUUUAACCCAUACAGAGCUUUAUGCAGUUUGUAGACUUUAUCUUCCUUUCCCUUGACUACAUAUCCUUCGGGCUGAUCUACAUAAACUUCUUCUUCCAAUACACCAUUUAAAAAUGCUGAUUUUACAUCAAGCUGAUACAAUUUCCAGCUCUUAUGUGCUGCCAAAGCUACAAGUGUCCUGAUAGUAUCCAAUCUAGCCACUGGAUCAUAAGUUUCAUUGUAGUCUAGCCCUGGCUUUUGAGAAUAACCCUUUGCAACUAGCCUAGCUUUGUUUUUUAAAACUGAACCAUCAAGAUUUAACUUGGUUUUGUAGACCCAUUUAACUCCAAUAACCGGCUUUUCUGUUGGUCUAUCCACAAGCUUCCAGGUGUCAUUCUUCUCAAUCAUGGCUAAUUCAUCUUCCAUUGCCUUUAACCAUGAUUCAUCUUGAGCUGCAUCUGCAUAUCUUUCUGGUUCCAGAAUGCAUGAGUUGCAUUGGGCAAUAACAUUAUUCAAAUUUCUCCAUUUCAGAGGUGAGUGAUCAUAAGUCUCUGAAAUCUUUGCAGAUUCAGGGGUACAGAUUUCUUAUUCUUCUGUAUAAAAGGGAAAACUAGAACUGAUGGAGCUUUCUUCAGUUUCACUAAACUCAUAUGAAUUCACACCAACUACAUUUUCAGGUUGAUCCUGAAUGUAGGUUGCAGCAACUGAAUUUUGUGAAUUUUCUUUCCAAUUCCAAGUCAUAGAUUCAUCAAAAACUACAUCUCUUGACAAGAUUAGGUUCUUGGUGCGUGGAUCAAAUAUUCUGUAUCCUUUCUCACAUGUAGCAUAUCCCACAAAUACACCUUUGACACUUUUAGCAUCUAGCUUCUGUCUUGUCUCAGUAGGCACAUGUACAUAGCAUAGGGAACCAAAAAUCUUGAGAUGUGUUAUACCUGGUUUUCUACCACUAUAAGCUUCAAAGGGAGUUGUAUUUCCAAGUGCCUUUGUAGGACACAUAUUUAGAAUAUACACAGCUGUGUGUACAGCUUCAGCCCAAAGAAAGUAUGGCAUAUCUCUAUCAUGAAGCAUAGAUUUUGCCAUUUCAACCACAGUUCGGUUUUUUCUUUCCACUACUCCAUUUUGCUGAAGAGUAUAAGCCAUUGUAAGUUGUCUUUGAAUGCCUUCAGUAUCACAGAACUUAGUGAACUCAGAUGAUAAGAAUUCUCCACCUUUGUCACUCCUUAGGCAUUUAAGUUUGAAAUCACUCUGCAACUCCACCAUUGACUUAAAUUUUUUGAAAUAAUUGAAUGCAUCAUAUUUGUAUCUGAGGAAAUACACCCAAAUCAUCCUUGUAUAGUCAUCAAUGAAUAACAUGAAAUACUUGUUUUCAGCCAAGGAUGCAUUCUGCAUAGGACCACACAGAUCAACAUGAAUAAGUUCCAGAUGACAGUUUGCUCUCCAGGCUUGUUUUUUUGGAAACCAGUCUCUAUGUUGUUUUCCAAAUUGACAUCCUUGACAUACAUCUUUGAUUGCUUCUAGAUAUGGAAGACCAUGCACCAUAUUCUUCUCACUGAGUUGCGGAAGUCCCCUGAAGUUCAAGUGACCUAGUCUUCUGUGCCAAAUCUGAGUAGAGUGCUCUAUGCAAGCCUUCAGAACCAACUGAUUGUUUUGCAACAUAGAAAGAAGGUAGCAUCUAUUUUUCUUCUUCUUAACCUUGAUGACAAGAUUGUCAAGUAAAGGUCCAUCAAAUAUACUACACAAGCCUCCUUCAAACACUAGAUAAUACCCAUGCUCAUCCAUUUGUCCAACAUUCAGUAAGUUCUUUUUUAACCCUGGCAGAUACAUGACUUCUCUGAUAUUUUUUACCUCUAUUAGUGUCUAUCUGCAGUGAAACCAUUCCAGCAACAUUUAUUUUUAUGUCAACAAGAAGAUCAGCAUUCCCUGUCAUGUGGUUACUACAACCACUGUCAACAUACCAAUUUUCAUUGACAUUUGUCUCUGAGAUUGCACUAUUAGCAUAGAACAAAUUCCCUGUCACUUCCACCUGAUUUGCAGAGUUUGCCUUUUGCACAUUCUUUCCUACAAUGCAUUCUUUCCCCAUAAUGUCCAAACUUAUCGCAUGUAUAACAUUUGGGCUUCCCCUUAUAUCUACACUUGCCAAAAUGAAACAUAGAGCACACUCUACACUGUGGUUUGAUACUCUCUUGACCCAAUGACUGUGAUUGAUAUGAAUUUGAUGCGGGACUAUUGAAGGAUUUCUGUUGGAAUCAAGGUUUUGAAUCCCAUUUCUUUCCCUUAGAAUUCCAAUUCUUCUGGAAUUUUGAUGAACCAUAUUGAACUCCACUUCUAUUUUGCCCUUUGGGACUCACUGAGAAUGAUGCAAAUGCCUUCUCAGUGGUAUCAACAUUAUGCAAAUCGAACCGUUGUUCUUGACUCUUCAAGAUUGCAACAACUUCCUGCAAUUCUACAGUCUCUAGACACUUUGUAUUUUCUAUAACCAAACAGAUCGAAUCAUAAGGUUUACUUAGACUUAUCAGAACCUUCUGCACAAGUCUCUCAUUAGAAAGAGAUUCACCAAAUGUUCUCAUCUGAUUAAUUAAGUCAUUCAGCCUUGUGAGAUAUCUAGAUAAGGAUUCAUCAUCUCGCAUUCUAGCAUACUCAAAUUCUCUUCUAAGAUUUUGAAGUUUUACAGAUCUAACCUGAUCACCACCAUGGUAUUCACCGUACAGUAGAUCCCAUGCCAUCUUGGCUGAGUCGGCAUUGGCAAUCCGAGGAAAAUCUGAUCAGAAACAUCAUUUUGUAUAAUACCUAGAGCCUUUGCAUCCCUCAUGAGCACAGCAACCAUUUCAUCACUGUCAUUUUCCGACGACCCUUCAGCUUCCUUCUUCUUCUUCUUUGAAUCGGGUGUUGGCAAUCCCUUUUCUACCAGAUUUCAUAUCCCAAUGGAUUUGAAGAUUGUUACCAUUUUAAUUCUCCAGAACUCGUAGUUCUCACCGGAGAAGAUUGGAGUUCUCACCUCCGAGCCUCCAGAUCCAGACAUCUUGCAAGCCUUUCGUGAGCUUCGACUGAGCUCAGUGACCUCACAGAUUUACGCCCAGAUUUUUAACGGCGCAACCUGGCUCUGAGGCCAUGUUAGUGUUUGAUAUGCUGAUUAGCAAAAGAGAAUGAGAGAAGAACAAUUCACAGAGACGAUGGGAAAAGGAAUGGUUGUUCUUCCUCUCUCUACAAAAUUUCACAGAGGGAUAUUCUAUUUCAUUAAUGUUCCUCUCUCACUCUCACACAACGUGCACAGUGAGAUAUUAUAGCUAACAAGAGCUGAGCUGGAUCAACACAUCAGAAAGAAAUGAUCUCAGCCAUUCAUUUACCUAACAACUAGGAUCAUCACACAUGGCACUCAUGGCCUUACAUCUUUUGACUUUACACUUGGUAGAUAUGCUCAAGUGAAUACACAAAUAAACUCAUCUUAUUUCACUAAUACUAAUCAGCUAUAGAAUUAUAAUUCAACAAUAUGAUCUUUUGUAUUGAUGAAUGCUGAAUGAAUUACAUUUGCAUAGCCUAGUAUGCUACAAAGCUAACUAACAUAACCAAUUUCCAACAGACUCUCUAACAGCUUAUGCUGACAUGACACUCCAAAUACUAACAGCCUAACAUCCUAUGCUAACAUGGCACACACUACUAACAGCUAUAUUCAACACUAACAAUUGCUUGUGUUUGCAAUGUUAUAUUCUCACCGGAAUAUAUGUAAAAUCGAUGACCGGCCAAGACAACACUGCGGAUCUCCCUACCACUUGCAACAUCUUCAUAGCAAUCAUAAAAUAUGUCCAUGCAUGGAUAAAGGGGCUAUAUGCAGCCUCAAAUUCCUUUUUUCCAUCUUCAAAGAGAGUUAUAAAUCUCUAACAUGCCCCGUCGGGAAAAAAAAAAUUCCACUAUGUGGCGGAGCCAAUAUGGGGUCAUUGGUUGCUCAUAACCCCAAUAGCUUUAAAACCAUAAUGCAUACUUAUUUGUAUAUUUGCAUAUGACCCCUAAACAUAAUUGCAGCAAACUAAAAGAAUAAGUCAAAAACACUGAAUUACAAAUUGAUGCUUUUUUGUGCAACCCUAGUACAGUUAUUUGUAGAUUUUCUUUUUUCUUUCUUUUGUCUUUCUUCUCCUAUUUCUUGUAUGCGACCUUAUGGUAUACAACAAGUAUUUGAUAAAAAGCCUCACUCGAUAUUCCUUGGCAAAAAGCGAUAAACUACGACAUAUUUUGGCAGAUACCCACCAGAAGCUCAACGAAAUGAUCCAAUGAAGUCUUUUUGGCAACAAUUAUGACUCAAUUAUUAUAAAAUUCUGGCUUUGCCUUUACACUUGUUCUCAAAUUGAUAUACAAGCACGGACGUGCAUAGGAACACAUAGAUGUAAUACACUGCCCAAAACACACGGAUGUGCCUUUUCACAUUUUUCACACUUUUACAUUCAUUAUUAUGAUUUUUUAUUUAUUCUAAACUCCUAGAAAUACAUUGCCCAAAACACACUGUUCACAAGGGUUUCUAGGAUUUUAAAAAUCCAAACGACAAUGUACCCAUCGUAAAAGUGUAGAGGAAGCGGGGUCACGAGCAUUUGCAUAUUUCUUCACAUUUUUCAUACUUGUGAUUAAUUAUUAUGAAUUUUUUUAUUGUGCUUUGGUAUUUUUAAUACACUUUGGCAUUUUUAACGUGCAUUGGAAUUUUUAAUCUUACUUAUGUGAGAUUAAAUACUAUGCCUCUUCUAGUAAGGUAUUUUGGUAGUUUAAAAUGAUCAAACUAACCCUUUCCUAUCGGAUUGAAAUGGGUUACCUAUGGAUAAACCUGUUAAGAACCCAUCAGUGACCGAUACCCAAUUAGUUAACGUGCUAACCCAAACUCAUUAUUGUCAUGUCGUUUCAAAUUGGGUUAUCUAAUUGUGUAAGAAAUUGUCAAGUCUAUUAGGGACACUCUCAGAAGUGAGACUCCAGUUACUCUCUCAAAAAAAUUUACUUCAUUUUCUGGUUUUCAGUUGAAGAUUUUAAGUAUUUACCAAAUAAGAUUUCGGUUUUCAUAUUUCAAAUAAAUAAAAACUAAACUAUAGACAAAAUAAUGAUUAUCAAACCAUCCUUAACUAAAAUAAAAAUCCAAGAUGGCUGAGGAUCCACGAGUACAUUUCAGAACACAAUGUGAACAACUAUAUUACGCACACAAGGACAAAAGGUAAGCAUCGGGUCCCAAAUUUAAUGAAAGGUCAAUUUACUAAUAAUAAUCUUACAGGUCUAUAUCAACAUAUUUUCUAAGGCACGUACCACGCUGAUCAUUUUUUGGGGCACUGAAAUUGCUAUAAACGCCAUUCUCUCUACCACCUUGAUUAGUAUAUAAAUCGUAGAGCAAAUCUACCAUUUCAGUAUAUCUGCUCAUCAUCAUAUCCUUUACCAAAAUCCAGCUUGCUUCUACUACACUAGCUAGCUACCCAUGGAGAACCUAAACCUUCAGCUAUGGAAGUAUAUGUGCUUGGGUUUGAUCCUCAUGUUGCGAGCUUGGUCUUCUCAAGCCACUUCUCGCAGUCUGCAAGAUGCAUCAAUGUAUGGGAGAUACGAGCAAUGGUUGGCUCGUUAUGGCCGUGUAUAUAAUGACGUCGAUGAGAAGGAAACUCGUUUCAAGAUAUUCAAGGAAAAUGUGGCGUUUAUAGAAUCUUCUAAUAAGGAUGCAAACAAACCUUACAAAUUAAGCGUCAAUCAAUUUGCAGACCUUACAAAUGAAGAGUUCAAAGCCUCAAGAAAUGGAUUCAAGGGCCAUGAAUGUUCCACGAAGACGACUUCUUUCAAAUAUGAAAAUGUGACUGCCGCUUUGCCAGCAACAAUGGACUGGAGAAAGAAAGGAGCUGUAACCCCCGUUAAGGACCAAGGCCAAUGUGGUAAGUACAUAAAAGUCUAGCUUCCUGCCAUUAAUUUAGAGAGACACUAUAUAUAUUCAUCUUUAAUAUACUCCUAAUCUAACAACUUUUGAUUCAAAUCGAAAUACAGGAUGCUGUUGGGCUUUUUCAGCAGUUGCCGCCACCGAAGGUGUUACACAGCUUACAACUGGUAAAUUGAUCUCUUUGUCUGAGCAAGAGCUCGUUGAUUGUGACACCGCUGGUGAAGACCAAGGUUGUGAGGGUGGCUUAAUGGACGAUGCGUUUCAGUUCAUGCAACAAAAUCACGGUAUUAGCACAGAAACUAAUUACCCCUACAACGGUGUUGAUGGUACAUGUAACACCAAGAAGGAAGCCAUCAUUGCAGCCAAGAUAACUGGCUUUGAGGAUGUGCCGGCAAAUAGUGAAAAGGCCCUUCUAACCGCUGUUGCUCAUCAACCUGUUUCCGUUGCCAUCGAUGCUAGCGGUUCCGAUUUCCAAUUCUAUUCAAGUGGUGUCUUCACUGGAACUUGUGGAACGAGUCUUGACCAUGGUGUUACCGCUGUUGGAUAUGGCGUGAGCGAGGAUGGGACUAAGUAUUGGCUAGUGAAGAACUCAUGGGGUGCAGAAUGGGGCGAAGCUGGGUACAUAAGAAUGCAAAGAGAUGUUGCUGCAGCUGAAGGACUUUGUGGGAUUGCUAUGUCUGCCUCUUACCCCACAGCUUAGUUAAUUAAAUCAAUGCCUACUAGCUAUAUGCCUUGUAGGUAGUCUGAUAUGUAUCAACCUGUAUGUGUAAAAUAUUUAUAAGAUAAUCAAGAAAAUUGCUGGGCAUUUCUCAUCUAAAUUUAUUAGACUCGCUUUCUUGGUCAUCAGGUGUCCAAGAAUUCAUGAUCACACACUAUUAGAUUUGAUAUGAAAGAUUAAAAACCAAAAUCACACAUUUAUUCUCCAUCUUAGUCACCCAAUGACCAAAAGAACCUAUGGUCCAAGUUCGCAAUGGCCUCCCACUAAUCAAAAGAUUUGCAAUCAAACAUCUAUAUAUUCAGGCGGCUAUUGGGCUUUUGCAGCAGCGAGAGCCGUUGAAGGAAUUACUGGGCUUACAUAUGGUGAAUUAAACUUUGUCCGAGCAACAAGUGGUUGAUUGUGAUACCCGCGGUGAAGACCUAGGUUGUGGUGGUGGCUACCUUGACGGCACCUUUGAGUUCAUCAAUCAAAACCGUGUGAUUAGCUCCGCAAGGACCGCAACGCCGGUAUUAAACGGUACAUGGAGCACCGAAGGCCCUCAUACAACCAAUAUAACUGGCUAUGAAGACGUGCCGAUAAGCAAUAAGAAGGCCUUGUAAGACUCAUGUUGAGUUGUCAAUUAUUAUGAAUCAAAUUAUUUAAAAGGCAAAUAACUUGAUCUUCAAGAUAUUUUACUUUUAACAUAAUUCAAUAUUGGUUAAGAAUCAUGGAACCAAGAUAUAUUAGUUGACUAAUUGAAACCCUAAUUAAGUAAGACAUAUUGUACAUGCCUUGGUGGGACACCAUUAAGAUUAAAUGGUGAUUUGGUGUAUUCCUCCAAUUACUAUAACCGGCGAGAUUGGAGGAACCCUAAUCACUAUAAUAAGGGUGUCCCUGCUUUCACAACACACAUGUUCGAUUCCGUGCAAGCCCUAUUAUUGCUGAAACACUUUUGCUUGUUGAAAGUAAAAGACUCUUUCCGCAAGCGUUAUGUCUUCUAUAUGUCAAUGAUAAGUAAAUUGUGAUUUUUGUUUAUUAAAUCCGUAAUCCUAAUAUCUUGUUGUUUUUCUUAUAAUUUCAUAACUUUCUUAUCCUUCUCAAGGCUUGCUAAUCUACCUAUUUUUGUUUUCAUUGAUGUCGGAGAAGAAAAUUUCAUGUCAGUCCUAUAACAGUGGUCAUUAAAGGGGUAUGUGGACUAUCCAUCGACCAAUUUGUUUCUGCUAUUAGUCAAGGGAUAGGUGUUGAUGGAGAACAUACAUGGAUAAAGUAUACCGCAAGUGGUGUUUUCUCAAUGAAAUAAGAACAUGUGCAACUCUGGCGCAAGUGGUGUUUCCACUUUUAUCUCUGACGCAACUCAUGGUCGGACAAAGUAUGCAUUAGCAGUCACUAAAAUGUCAACUGUAAGUCUGAGUUCAGCGCAUACUUUGGGAUUAAGAUUUUCUCCCCUUUUCUUUCCAUCUUCUUCUCUCACAUUCUUUAUUUUGUCUUUCUCUUUCUAUAAAAAAAUAAUAUAAGAUGUUGACGUACCUUAACUGUGACCAUUCAAAUAGGAAGGGAAGAAAAAAAGAGGGGCGAGAAUCCUGCUCCUCGGUUGAUGGGUGCUUCAUUGUCCACAGGAACUAAGGCCUGCUAAGUAAGGCUGUAAUCAAAUCGUGGAGCCCAUUUCCUUGAUCCCAACCGAGUUGUUGUUGAACAGUUAUCAACCAUGAAAGAAACUCCCCGUGCAUGCAUAAAAGGAUUCAAAGAAUCCAGAGACUCAAUAACACUUUCAUUAAUAAGAACAUGAAUGUCCUUUUUUAGGUAAUGCUAGGAGACCAAAAUUUUAAACCAAAUGAUGUGUCACCAAUAGGAAAUAAGCACGUUAAUCAACGUCUAAGUAAUAAUCCAAUCAUUAUCAAUCACAUCAUUUGGUUUGUAAAUUUGGUUUAAAGAAUUUGGUCCUCCUAACAUUAUCCCCUUUCUAAACAUGUGACCUGAUAACGAGCCAAUUAGUUAACGCCUUGACAAUCCGUUAUUUUCGUAUCGUUUCGGAUCGGGUUAACAGGUCGUGUAAGAAAUUACCCGGUCUAUCAGAGACUCUCUCAGAAGUGAAACUCUUCAUGGACUCUCUCGAAACUUUUUAUUUCAAUUUUUCGUUUUUAGUUGAAAAUUGUAUGUUACCAUAUAGUAUUAUUUCAAAUGAAUAAAAACAGAAGUAAAGACAAAAUAAUGAUUAUCAAACCAUCCUUAAAUAAAGUAAAUCCAAGAUGGUUGAGGAUCCACGAUUACAUUUCAGAACACAAUGUGAACAAAUAUAUUACGCACACAAGGACAAAAGGUAAGCAUCAGGUCCCAAAUUAAAUGGAAGGUCAAUUUACUAAAAAUAAUCUUACAGGUCUAUAUCAACAUAUUUUCUAAGGUAUGUACCACGCUGAUCAUUUUUUGGGGCACUGAAAUUGCUAUAAACGCCAUUCUCUCUACCACCUUGAGUAGUAUAUAAAUCGCAGAGCAAGUCUACCAUUUCAGUAUAUCUGCUCAUCAUCAUAUCCUUUACCAAAAUCCAGCUUGCUUCUACCACACUAGCUAGCCACCCAUGGAGAUCCUAAACCUGCAGCUAUGGAAGUAUAUGUGCUUGGGCUUGAUCCUCAUGUUGGGAGCUUGGUCUUCUGAAGCCACUUCUCGCAGUCUGAAAGAUGCAUCAAUGUACGGGAGAUACGAGCAAUGGUUGGCUCUUUAUGGUCGAGUAUAUAACGACAUCAAUGAGAAGGAAACUCGUUUCAAGAUGUUUGUACCAUACUUGACCAAUCCCUAAACUACUGAGCACUGGUCAACGUUAUACCGUCAAGGACCCAGAAGAGUUUCCCUCCAACCAAAAGGCCAAUCACAAUGCGACAAGUGUCGACAUCAGAAGCCAAUCACAACACGACAUGUGUCAAUGUCAGAAUGAAACUAGAAACUCUCUUCUAUAAAUAGAGAUCAUUCUCUCACAAUAUUUCCUAAUGUCAUUUGUACUAAAUCAUUCACUAGUACUCACUAAAGGAGAGCUUGAACUUAUGUACUUGUGUAAACCCUUCACAAUUAAUGAGAACUCCUCUACUCCGUGGACGUAGCCAAUCUGGGUGAACCACGUACAUCUUGUGUUUGCUUCUCUGUCCCUAUCCAUUUACAUACUUAUCCACACUAGUGAUCAGAGCAAUCUAGCGAAGGUCACAAACUUAACACUUUCUGUUGUACCAAAGUCCUCACUAAUUUUGUGCAUCAACAAUUGGCGCCAUCUGUGGGAACGACACUUAUUCUCAUUCUCUUCAGCUUUGUCAAGCUGGUUUCCACCAUUCGUACACUCUCUUUUGACCAGAAAUCUCUCUCCAACAUGGGGAGCGAAGGAAGCCAUAGCACACAGAAUGACACCCAUCUUGCACCUAGUGCGAAGCAACGAAAGAAUGAAGGAAAGAGGGUUGCUCUUCAAGCUAAAGUCGAUGAGCUAGAAGCUCAAAACAACAAGAUAGCAACGUCGAGAGAAUCCCUUCCACAUAUGCUCGAAGAUUAAUGACCCAAGGAUUUCUGAAAGACUCGGUCCCCUCCCACGACCCAGGCCAGCUGCCAAUCUAGGGAAGGAACGACAUGUCCUAGAGGAACAUAAAGGUAUAGGGGACUCUGAGGUAUUCCGACAGACUCGCCCUAGAAGUCAGUACGGCGAGUCCAAGGAAAAAUCACACGCCCUUGCUCAAACUUUCCUACUUCCAAGAGGCGAUGGAGACUUACGAAAGAAAAUCUCAGUGGUACAUGACUCCACUCAAGACCCAUUUAUCCUACAGCUCCUUGAGGAAGUAAACAAGUUGACGGCCGAACGUCGGGCCAAGAUACCUGACUGGAACCAACCCAGGCCUGGCCCUCUCACAAGGAGGAUCCUCGACACCCCCUUCAAGCGAAGACAAAACAAAACCUUGGUUUACAACUCUAUACUGGAAAUGAGGACCCAAUUGAACACCUUAACCUCUUUGAGUCCACCAUGGCAUAUCGGAUACAUACCGACGAAGAACAAUGUCUUCUCUUCCCCUCCACCCUCUCUCGCGAAGCUCUAAACUGGUAUUACCGUCUUCCACCUAAGACAGUAGACUCAUUUGAGGAACUGAGGAAACUGUUUGUCUCUCAACACAUCUUCCAGACCGAUCGCUUGCAUUCUGCAGAUGACUUGUACACUAUUUACCAGAAGUCGGACGAGUCACUACGAGAGUAUGCUGGUCGUUUCAGCCAUGAGUAUUCUCGUUGCGCUGAGGCAGAUGACAAGACCGCCCUCAAGGCCUUCACGGCAGGCCUACGUGAUUAUUUCUUCAAGUACAUGAUCAAUGCCAACACUUGGAAGACUUACUCUGAGGUGAUGGCAUAGGCUUACAACCAUGCCUCCGCCAAGGCAAGGACAUAUCAAGGGAAACCCCCCACAACCACCCCUUAUCAGGAAGUAGGGAGUGGAAGCCAGAUCUAACCAAAUGAGAAGACCUCAACCUUCCAAACGGCAGCGGUGCCUCCCCCUGCCUUACUUAAUACUUUGCCAAGUCAACAGACAUAUCAAUCUUAGGGUAAAAGGAAAUAUUUCCAUCCUCACCAGUCUUAUUUUAGUAAAAGGAGUAAGGGACACUACCGCGAUAACCAAGGGUAUCGCCAUGAUAAUCCCCGACCCCAGGCAGUCAACACAGUGGGUCAAGCACGUGUCAGGACAGCCCCUACCCCGAGGUAUAAGGCAUACACAUCUUUGAACGCCAUAUGUGUGGCCAUUUACCCCAGCAUAGCACACUUGAUACUGAAGCCAAAGCCGAUGCACCCUGAUUAUAAGCCCACGAAGAACACAGGCACGUUUUGCUGCUACCACGAGCAUAACGGCCAUGACGGCAAAAAGUGUAUCACCCUUGGUGAUCAUAUUGAAGCUUUGGCACGUGAAGGAAAAAUUGAUCAAUUCCUCAUUCACCCUCCAAGGGGUAACCGUAACCAACGCCAGGUAAAUGUGAUAUAUUCCAUAAAUGGUGGCGCACCCAUAUCUAAAUCUUCCAAUAGAGCCAUGAAAAAUAGUGAACGAGUUUUAAGGUCUGGUCACCAAGUGUUUCACGUGGAAGACAUCAGGGGAGGUAAGUAUCAAAAGCCUAAUUGGGAUCCAAUAUGUUUCUACCUUGAGGAAGAAAGAGGUAUCAUCUACCCUCACAACGACCCACUGAUCGUGGAAGCUCAUAUAGCCAACUUUGAAAUACGACGAAUCCUGGUAGACACAGGGGCUUCGGUCAAUAUCAUGUUUGCUGAAGCUUUCAAGGCACUUAAUAUAGCUGAACAUUUGCUCGACCGCUCAAUUUUCGCUCUGAUAAGCUUCUCCGAUGAUAUCGUGCAACCUUUGGGGAGCAUACACUUACCUUUCACCAUUGGUACAGGCCCUUACACAGCUACCAUUACCACUAACUUCCUGGUGGUUGAUUGCCCAACGGCAUACAAUGUCAUCUUCGGACGCACAGGCAUCAAUGAUCUCAAGGCCAUGGUAUCCACACAUAUGUUGUUGAUGAAAUUUCCAACCCCCUAUGGCAAUAGUUACAUCAGAAGAGAUCAACUUAGUGCACAAUCAUGUUACAACACUUCGGUCAAGCAACAACACCUGCAUAUGCCUAAGGAAACCCUUUCUAUACAUGACCAAGUCAUAAAGACCAGCCCAGACGAAGCCAACUUAGAUCUUCACGGUGGCAACAGUCAACCCGACGAUCAUCGAGAUGACUCUUUCACCCAGCAAGCACAACCCGCCGAAGAGUUGGAGAAGGUCUCUAUCUCAAAAGAUUAUCCGGAUCGCAUGGUGAAGAUUGGUACCACCUUGUCACCACCCAUUCGGUUGGCAUUGAUCUCUUUUUUGCAAGAGAACACUAAGGUCUUCGCCUGGUUAUACGAGGACAUGCCAGGCAUCUCUCCCGAUAUAAUCUAUCAUCGCUUAAGUAUUGACCCCAAGACCAAGCUAGUGAGACAGAAGCGAAGAUCUUAUGACGCUGAAUGGUACGAGGCAAUGAAGGCAGAAGUUGAAAAACUCAAAGGCAUAGGCUUCGUCCGCGAAGUCAAUUAUCCAACGUGGGUAGCAAAUGUUGUCCUUGUUAAGAACAAUCCGACCAAGGAAAGUCUCCUGCACCAAAAGGUCUUGUGGAGAAUAUGUAUCAAUUACACCGACCUAAACAAAGGAUGCCCGAAUGAUAGCUUUCCUCUUCCUCUCAUAGACAGACUUAUAGACUCUACGGUAAGGUGUGAACUCCUGAGCUUCAUGGAUGCUUACUCAGGAUACAACCAAAUCCUCAUGAACCCUUCGAACCAAGAACACACAGACUUCACUACUGACAGGGGACUAUAUUGUUAUAAAGUCAUGCCCUUCGGCCUAAAGAAUGUAGGAGCGACUUAUCAGAGACUGGUCAAUUCAAUGUUCGCCAAACAUAUUGUGAAGAGCAUGGAAGUUUACAUUGAUGAUAUGCUAGUCAAGAGCAAACAUGCUGACCAACACAUCACUAACCUAUCUGAAACUUUCACCAUUCUGAAGAGGUAUCGAAUAAGGUUGAACCCCAACAAAUGUGCCUUCGGCGUAGGCUCUGGCAAAUUCUUAGGCUUACGAUAAGCCAACGAGGCAUUGAGGCUAAUCCUGAGAAGAUCAAAGCAAUAAUUGACAUAAAGGAACCGGUAACUUCAAAAGACAUUUAGAGCCUUACUGGCAAGGUGGCAGCCUUAACUAGGUUCAUCUCUAAGGCCACCGACAGAUGUGCUCCUUUCUUCAAAGCACUUAAGGGAAGUAAGAAGUACAUUACAUGGACUGAUGAAUGUGCUGAGGCAUUUAAGAACCUCAAAGACUACAUAAGUAAAGCCUCUUUGCUCUCCAAACUUGAGGUUGGUGACACUCUCGUUAUCUAUCUGUCGGUAUCGACUUCAGCAGUAAGUUCGGUUCUCAUUCGAAAAGAUGGUAAUGUCGAACGGCCUGUCUACUACGCUAGCAAGGCCUCACAAGAUGUGAAGACACGAUACUCCAACAUUAAGAAAUUGGCUCUUGUAUUGGUCAUGUCUGCUCGAAAACUUCGCCCUUACUUCCAAGCACACUCUAUCAUCGUGCUUACCAAUUAUCCUCUUCGACAGAUACUCCAAAGUCCUGACACUUCCGGGCGAAUGAUCAAAUGGGCGACAGCAUUGGGUAAGUUUGACAUCUCCUACCAACCAAAGCCAGCUGAGAAGGGCCAAACAGUGGCAGACUUCAUCGCUGACUUCACAUAUCCUGUUGACAUUGUUUCUAAGCCUAAAGAAGUGGUUUCAUUACCCUCGGAAGCUCAUAAAAUAAAACCAACAGCCCCAGCAUAGAGUCUAUAUGUUAAUGGCUUGUCCAACCAACAGGGUUGUGGAGCAGGACUAGUCUUUACAACCCCUGACAAAGUGGCGAUAGAGUAUGCUCUUCGUUUCAAAUUCAAGGCGUCGAACAAUGAGGCUGAAUACGAAGCCCUCCUAGCAGGCUUACGUUUGGCCAAACACCUUAGGGUUAAACGAAUUGAUAUCUUCAGUGACUCCCAAUUGGUGGUUAACCAGUUCACCAACAACUUUGACGUUAAGGAUAGCUCCACGGCAGCAUAUCUGGCAUAAACACAAUUGUUGUUCAAGCACUUCCACUACCAGAUCACCCAAAUUCCUCGAGCGGCAAACAGUCAUGCAGAUGCUUUGGCUCGCCUCGCCUCGCCUCAGCGGUGGAAGACAAGAUUGGGAGAAAAAUUCAAAUCAAAUUGUUGGCAGCACCAAGCACCAUGGCUGCGGAAGUGUGCAACUUACAACAAUGAGAUAGUUGGAUUACCCUGAUUUAUAGAUUUCUUGCUAAUGGCACCCUUCCAAAUGACAAAGUCCAAGCUAAGCAGAUUCGAUACAAGGAUACCCGUUACUUGAUCAUUAAUGACCAACUCUACAAGCGGGGUUUUAACCUACCAUACCUAAGAUGCCUUACGCCCGCAGAGGCGGAAACUGUCCUUCGGGAAAUACAUGAAGGAGUCUGCGGAGAUCAUGCUGGAUCUCGAUCCCUAACACACAAGGCUUUUCGCCAAGGAUAUUACUGGCUAACAUUCCACCAAGAUGCCAUCAGAAUAUUCCGCUCAUGUGAUAAGUGUCAACGCCACUCAACUAUUCCUCACUCCUCUCCCGAACCGCUCACUCCUAUGAUCAGCCCUUGGCCUUUCGCCCAAUGGGGACUUGAUUUGAUCGGCCCAAUGCCUGCAGGGAAGGGCAAUGUUUGCUAUGCAAUCGUUGCAGUUAACUACUUCACAAAGUGGGCCGAAGUAGAACCCUUGGCAACCAUUACUGAGGAAAAAAUAGAAGACUUCGUAUCGAAGAACAUCCUUUGCAGAUUCGGCAUUCCUAAUGCGAUAGUCGCUGACAACGGGAUGUUCUACUCUAAGUUCAACAUCAACUUAUGUUUUGCCUCCCCAGCUCAUCCCCAGUCUAAUGGACAAGUUGAAGCCAUCAAUAAAAUAAUCAAGCGAACUUUGAAAACCAGCUUGGACAAGGCUAAAGGUUAUUGGCCAGAAUUUGUACCCCAAGUUCUUUGGUCAUACCGCACUUCGUAUCGGACAUCAACAGGAGAAACCCCAUUCUCACUUGCCUUUGGUACAGAGGCAGUUGUCCCAGUUGAGCUUGAGCAAGCAACGUUCUGAGUCCAGAACUACGUGCAAAGCGAAAAUGACAAACAACUUACCCUCAACUUAGAUCUAGUCGAGGAACACAGAAACCAGGCUCACUUGAAGAAUGUCGCCUACAAGCAGCGCAUCUCCAACUACUAUGACUCAAGGGUCAAACCUCAUUCUUUCAAAGUGGGGGACUGGGUAUUGAAGAAAAGAUUACUCUGCAACAGAGUCCCGAGUGAAGGAACACUUAGUCCAAACUGGGAUGGACCGUUUGAAGUUGUUGGCAUCAGUCGCCCUGGCUCCUACAAGCUUAGAAGCUCCGAUGGAAAGACCCUUAGCCAUCCAUGGAACGCUGAUCACUUGAAGUACUAUUACAAGUAAACUCACAUUGUACAAGUGUUAAGCUUCAGCCGUUCGGUAUCCUAUGUAACGAAGACUAUUUGGCAUGAAUUCAAUAAAGAGGUGAUUUAGACAACUUGAUCGUAAUCCUCUUACAUUCCUAGCAAUGAAACACUCGGGUUCAAAGCUUCAACAUGAAUGCUUCCAACAAGACUAUACAAAUAAACAAACAGCUUCAUAGUAUAUUCGUUCAAUCAUACAUUCCAACACAUUCAUACAUAAGCCAACUGUGCUUUGAAAGGGUUAUACAUAUUUUGUGUCAUUCGACACUUGCUACAAUGUGCCUAGACACCUUGCCCUUAUUCCCACCAACCAGGUGAUGAAAUGUGAAGAAGGAACUCAUCUUCAUGCCACCAACCAGGUGAUGAAAUGUACAACCCGUACUCUCCUUCAUGCCACCAACCAGGUGAUGAAAUGUACAACCCAUACUCUAUUAUCAUUUGGCAACUUGCCACUCAUGCCACCAACCAGGUGAAGAAGGAACUCAUCUUCAUGCCACCAACCAGGUGAUGAAAUGUACAACCCGUACUCUCCUUCAUGCCACCAACCAGGUGAUGAAAUGUACAACCCGUACUCUAAUAUCAUUUGGCAACUUGCCAUUCAUACCACUAACUAGGUGAAGAAGGAACCCAUCUUCAUGCCACCAACGAGGUGAUGAAAUGUACAACCUGUACUCUCCUUCAUGCCACCAAUCAGGUGAUGAAAUGUACAACCUGUACUCUAAUAUUAUUUGGCAACUUACCAUUCAUGCCACCAACCAGGGGAAGAAGGAACUCACCUUCGUACCACCAACCAAGUGAUGAAAGCAACUCACCAUUCAUUCCACCUACCAGAAGACGAGUGGUACAACUUGUACAUGUGAACCCCUAGCAUUCACAAAUAAUCAAAAACCCUCAAGCUUGACAACUCAACUAAGGGAGCACUUAUGCCCAACAAGAGUUAUAGUCACCAACAAAGUCUUAUUGCAAGCCAAUAGCAACUUCAGUGCAUGGCAUACGAAGAUCAAGCUAUUCAGCUCUCUUUCAUCUGCUUCAAACAUUUCCCCUCUGUAAUAAUGCAAACACUACAACUCGUAGAAAGUUUCACACACUCUUGAUCAAGACAGUGUGAAGCAAAACCAAUUUAUGGUGCCAACAAAAGCUUCAUCAAUGGAGGGCAACCACAAUUCUCAAAAGCUUCACACACUCUUGAUCAAGACAGUGUGAAGCAAAACUAAUUUAUGGUGCCAACAAGAGCUUCAUCAAAUGAGUUCAACCACAAUUCUCAAAAGCUUCACACACUCUUGAUCAAGACAGUGUAAAGCAAAACCAAUUUAUGGUGCCAACAAGAGCUUCAUCAAUGGAGGGCAACCACAAUUCUCAAAAGCUUCACACACUCUUGAUCAAGACAGUGUGAAGCAAAACCAAUUUAUUGUGCCAACAAAAGCUUCAUCAAAAGAGUUCAACCACAAUUCUCAAAAGCUUCACACACUCUUGAUCAAGAUAGUGUGAAGCAAAACCAAUUUAUGGUACCAACAAAAGCUUCAUCAAUAGAGGGCAACUACAAUUCUCAAACCUUCGAAGCAAAUUCAAUUUAUAUGGUUCAUCCAAACCUUCGACUAUUACAAGGUGUGGCUUGCAUCACAAUCUCUUGCUCAACAGUGUGGAAGCAAAAUUUGUAAAUGUUGUCUCUUCCACAUUUUCAAAUUUCUAGUUUCCCAAAAAAAAAAUAAAGAAAGGAAAUUCAACAAAGCUUCAUCAAUGGACGACAACUACAAAUUCUCAAAAGCUUCACACUAUCUUGAUCAAGAUAGUGUGAAGCGAAAUCAAUUCAUGAUACCCAACAAAAGCUUCAACUCCAAAGCUUCACCAACAAAAGCUUCAUCAGUGGAGGACAACAACAAAUUCUCAAAAGCUUCACACUAUCUUGAUCAAGAUAGUGUGAAGCAAAAUCAAUUCAUGGUACCCAACAAAAGCUUCACCAACAAAAGGUUCAACUCCAAAGCUUCACCUACAAAGCUUCAACUCCAAAGCUUUACCAACAAAAGCUUCAUCAAUGGAGGACAACAACAAAUUCUCAAAAACUUCACACUAUCUUGAUCAAGAUAGUGUGAAGCAAAAUCAAUUCAUGGUACCCAACAAAAGCUUCACCAACAAAAGCUUCAACUCCAAAGCUUCACCUACAAAGCUUCAACUCCAAAGCUUCACCAACAAAAGCUUCAUCAAUGGAGGACAACUACAAAUUCUCAAAAGCUUCACACUAUCUUGAUCAAGAUAAUGUGAAGCAAAAUCAAUUCAUGGUACCCAACAAAAGCUUCAACUUCAAAGCUUCACCUACAAAGCUUCAACUCCAAAGCUUCACCUACAAAAGCUUCAACACAAAAGCUUCACCUACAAAAGCUUCAACACAAAAGCUUCACCCACAAAAGCUUGACCCACAAAAGCUUGACCUACAAAAGCUUGACCCACAAAAGCUUGACCCACAAAAGCUUCGCCUACAAAAACUUCACCCACAAAAGCUUCACCCACAAAGGCUUGACCCACAAAAGUUUGACCUACAAAAGCUUGACCCACAAAAGCUUGAAACACAAAAGCUUGACCCACAAAAGCUUCACCUACAAAAGCUUCACCCACAAAAGCUUCACCCAUAAAAGCUUGACCCACAAAAGUCUACAAAAGCUUGACCCACAAAAGCUUCACCUACAAAGUUUCAACACAAAAGCUUCACCUACAAAAGCUUCACACUAUCUUGAUCAAGAUAGUGUGAAGCAAAAUCAAUUCAUGGUGCCCAACAAAGCUUCAACCUCAAAGCUUCACCUACAAAGCUUCAACACCAAAGCUUCAUCUAAAAAGCUUUUAAAAUAUAUAUAUAUAUAUUCGGAAUUUUGAAAAUUCAAAAAUUCUGAAAUUCAAAAAUUCGGAAAUUCAAAAAUUCAAAAAUUCGAAAAUUCGAAAAAAAAAUAAAAAAAAAAAAAUUCGAAAAAAAACAAAAAAAUUGCUUGGGCCUCCUCUUCUUUGGGCCUAACAACUUUCAUAACAAAUAUAUAUGAAGAAGGAGUUUUGGGCUACCACUUAGAAAGGAAAUGCCUCAUUCGUCAACUCCCUCGACUGGAGACUUGGCGGACUCCUACCAUAUGCUACUGCACCUUAAUACUCGGAAGUCUCACGACCACUCAAUAACUUGGAUUUUUCAAGUCUCCAAACGAGAAGUUUUCCUCACUCGGGAAAUUAAGGAAGCACUACCUCAACCUACAUGUUUCACUCACAAAGCUUCAACAUGCAAGCUUCAACAAAAGGAAAAAUUCAAAGAACUUAGUGAAGAAGGCCUUGGUGUAUUUAACACAAUACGUUGAAAUGAAGCAAAGCUUGUUUAUUGAUAUCUCUGAUAAGUUACAAAUAUAUACAUAUACAUGAAUCAAAAUAAACAAACAAGAGGGAGCCUUCACAAAGGUUGCUCAGGAGAAGUCUCAACAGUCGGCAGAGCCCCAGAAAGAUGAGGCACCAGAGGGUGAUUAUUCGGAGCCUCAAUACUAGGCAGAACCCUAGAAGGAGGAGGCACCGAAGGUUGAUCAUUUAGAGCUUCAUUACGCGAUACAGCCCCAGAAGACGAAGGCAAUAAAUGCCUUUGGAACAAACCCACAAACCUCUGAUGAUGAAGUAAAAUCUGACCAUCAGAUUCUUGCAGUUGGUCGAGCUUCCUCUUCAUGUUUGUAGCAUAGUCAUGUGCGAGCCUGUGCAACUAUUUAUUCUCAUGCUUGAGCCCUCUGAUCUCCUGUUUGAGACUUAUCACUUCAGCCACCAAUGAUUCAACUUGACGGGUUCGAGAAAAUAGGCGUUGGGCCAUAUUAGACACAGAACCUGCACACUGAACAUUGAGAGCUAGAGAAUCCUUAAUAGCCAACUCAUCAGACCGUUUGGAAAGUAGUCUGUUAUCUUUGGGAGUGAGAAGGUUCCUGGCCACCACCGCUAUGGUCAUAUCAUUCUUCAUCAUAGAGUCCCCAAGGGUAAGAGGACCAGUAAGGGAUAAAAAUUAGGGGCGCCAUAUGUUGUCUUGAGAAGGCAUGGCUGCCUCUUUACCAAAGUUCAAGUCAAAACGACGGUCGGAUGGGCCAGACAUUCUCAAAAAUGAUGAAAGAGAAAUGAGGUGCAAUAAAUCUCUGAAGUAAGGGGAAAAUUCCUACAAGCAAUAACUCUCUGAAUGUACUCCUUGCACACAAUUGGUGCCCUUAUAAAAGAAAGGGCAAUAGGGCCAUUGAUUCAAAAAUCGAAGAGGCACCCUCUCCGGAUUUCGAAGAGGCACUACUUUCCACACGCAACAUCAGCUCAUCGGGUACCACAGAUAACUUUGCCAUGAUCUCUGACAAAGUUUAGACACAUAAAUUUUGAAGAUCCAGCUACCCUACUAUUACCCACAAGGGUAAAGGAAUAUAACCACUGCUUGAUAACUAGAAAGUCCCAAUAUGUGUCAACCUCCGUGCUUCGUGGCAAGGCAAACUAGCAAAAAUGCCCAACCUUUACUCAUAUUCGAGAAAACACUCCCAACAAGAUUGCUUGCUCAAAAAUCGAAGAGGAACCACUCUCCAAAUCUCGAAAGCCAGACUCCCAACAGGAUUACUUUCUCAAAAAUCGAAGAGACACUGCUCUCCGAAUCUCAAGAGUCAGACUCCCAACAGGAUUGCUUCUCAAAAAUUGAAGAGGCACCAUUCUCUGAAUCUCGAGGGCCAGAUCCCCGACAAGAUUGCUUGUUUGAAAACCGAAGAGGCAUCGCUCUCCAAACUUCGAGAGCCAAAUUUCCUUGGAUAAAGCUUGUCUGUAAUCUUCACACGCAACAUCAGCUUUCCAGAUACCACAGACCACUUUUUCCAAGCCCUCUGACAAAGUUAAAACAUGUGAAGCUUGCAGCUCCCACUACAUUGCUAUGACCAAGAAGGGUAAAGGAAUAGCAUUAUUACUUGCUCAAAAAUCGAAAGGCACCGCCCUCCAAAUCUCGAGAGCCAGACUCCCAACAGGAUAACUUUUUCAAAAAUCGAAGAGGCACCGCUCUCCGAAUCUCAAGAGCCAGACUCCCAACAGGAUUGCUUUCUCAAAAAUCAAACAGGCACCGUUGUUCGAAUCUCGAGAGCCAGAUCCCCGACAGGAUUGCUUGUUCGAAAACCGAAGAGGCAUCGCUAUCCGAACUUCGAGAGCCAGAUUUCCUUGGAUAAAGCUUGUCUGCAAUCUUCACACGCAACAUCAGCUUUCCAAAUACCACAUACCACUUUUUCAAAGUGCUCUGACAAAGUUAAAAUACAUGAAGCUUGCAGCUCCCACUACAUUGUUACGACCAAGAAGGGUAAAGGAAUAGCAUUACUACUUGUUGUUAUGGAGACUCUUAUAUAUGUCGACCUUCAUCCUCCACGGACAGGCAGACCUGCAACAAUGCUUAACCCUUCCUCAUAUCUGAGAGGGCACUCCCAACGAAGCCUCUCGAAAUACUCAGCUUUCUCCCCCCCCCCAAUAAUACCUAUGCAAACCAGCCACACCAGAGCAAGAGUAUCUCAUAUCAUAAGGGUCAAAAGCAAGAGUAUCCCAUAUCAUGAUUUUUCCCUGUCUUUUCCGUUACCCUUGUUCUUACCUGCAAGACAAUGAGAAAGAGAGCAAUCAGUCAGCACUUGGAAUCAAGCUUCCAGUCAGAAACUGACUGCCUAGAACCCCUUGCCUGAUUACUUACCUGGCAUUGCCCUUGAGUACUCAUCUUCAACAUCUUAUGCUUCCAUAAAAGAUACCACAUCUGCCUGAGGAACAAAUAGGGCAAGUGAGAAGGAUAUAAGGAAGCAUGUGGAGACAAGCGCAACAGAACACGUGCCGAUUUAUCUAUUACUUCGUCAACAGCAAGUAUCCCAUAUCAUCAAGGUCGAACGCACUCUUGAUUUGAUGGACUUGUUUUGACCCUCAAAUUCUUGAGUCCGCCUUAUACUCUAGAGGAAACCAGAAAACCCUCCAGCCCGGUUCAAGAAUAAGCCUGUGGAAAGUUACUUCUUUAAAAGCAAAAGUAUCUCAUAUCAUCUCUUCUCCAUUUGCUUCUCCUUAUCCUUGUUGCUGUUUACGACACAAGGAGAAGGAGAACAAUCAACCGGAAGCCAAAGUCGAACCUCCGAUCUAGGUUGCUUGCUUGGAAGUCUAAUUGCUUACCUUGUCUGUUACCUCUUUCGGCAAAUCUCCUAACUCGGCGACUUAGGGGACUCCUACUAUAGGGUUUUGUAUCGCACUUGACCAAGCCCGAAACUACAAGUAAGCUUCAAGUGAAAUUGAUACAUUACCUUGUGCAUCUUCAUCGGUUAAAGAUACCACCCCUGGAUGGAGGAAAAGUACUUCCAGAGAAGAUGCCACAUCUACAUAUGAGACAGAUAAGGCAAGUGAAAAUGAUACCACACUUUGGUACUUAGAAGUUUCAUGAUUACUCAAUGGCUUGGAUCUUACAAGUCCCCAACCGAUGAGCUUCCCUCACUCGGGAACUUAGGGGAGCACUGUUUGUACCAUACUUGACUAAUCUCGAAACUAAUGAGCACUGGUCAACGUUAUACCGUCAAGGACCCAGAAGAGUUUCCCUCCAACCAAGAGGCCAAUCACAGCGCGAAACGUGUCGACAUCAUAAGCCAAUCACAACAUGACACAUGUCAACAUCAGAAGCCAAUCACAACACGACAUGUGUCAAUGUCAGAAUGAAACUAGAAACUCUCUUCUAUAAAUAGAGAUCACUCUCUCACAAUAUUUCCUAAUGUCAAUUGUACUAAAUCAUUCACUAGUACUCACUAAAGGAGAGCUUGAACCUAUGUACUUGUGUAAACCCUUCACAAUUAAUGAGAACUCUUCUACUCCGUGGAUGUAGCCAAUCUGGAUGAACCACGUACAUCUUGUGUUUGCUUCCAUGUCCCUAUCCAUUUACAUAUUUAUCCAUACUAGUGACCGGAGCAAUCUAGCGAAGGUCGCAAACUUAACAUUUUCUGUUGUACCAAAGUCCUCACUGAUUUUGUGCAUCAACACAAGAUAUUCAAGGAAAAUGUGGCGUUUAUAGAAUUUUCUAAUAAAGAUGCAAAUAAACCUUAUAAAUUAAGUGUCAACCAAUUUGCUGACCUUACAAAUGAAGAGUUCGAAGCCACAAGAAAUGGAUUCAAGGGCCAUGAGUGUUCCACAAAGGCUACUUCUUUCAAAUAUGAAAAUGUGACCAUAACAUUACCAGCAACAAUGGAUUGGAGAAAGAAAUGUGAUGUAACCCCCGUUAAGGACCAAGGCCAAUGCGGUAAGUACAUAAACCUCUAGAUUCUUGUCAUUAAUUUAGAGAAACACUAUAUAUACAUAUACAUAUAUAUACAUACAUAUAUAUAUAUAUAUAUAUUCAUCUUUUAUUUUUUCCUUAAUCUGACUAUUUUUAUUCCCAUCAAAAUACAGGAUGUUGUUGGGCUUUUUCAGCAGUAGCCGCCACCAAAGGAAUUACACAGUUUACAACUGGUAACUUGAUCUCUUUGUCUGAGCAAGAGCUCGUUGAUUGUGACACCGCUGGGGAAGACCAAGGUUGUGAGGGUGGCUUGAUGGACGAUGCGUUCCUGUUCAUCCAACAAAAUCACGGGAUUAGCACAGAAGAUAAUUACCCCUACAACGGUGUUGAUGGUACAUGUAACACCAAGAAGGAAGCAAUCAUUGCAGCCAAGAUAACUGGCUUUGAGGAUGUGCCUGCAAAUAUAGUGAAAAGGCCCUUCUAACCGCUGUUGCUCAUCAACCUGUUUCCGUUGCCAUCGAUGCUAGCGGUUCCAACUUCCAAUUCUAUUCAAGUAGUGUAUUCACCAGAACUUGUGGAACGAGUAUUGACCAUGGUGUUACCGCUGUUGGAUAUGGUGUGAGUGAGGAUGGGACUAAGUAUUGGCUAGUGAAGAACUCAUGAGGUGCAGAAUAGGGAGAAGCUGUGUACAUAAGAAUGCAAAGAGAUGUUGCUGCAGCUGAAGGACUUUGUGGGAUUGUUAUGUCUGCCUCUUACCCCACAGCUUAGUUAAUUAAAUCAAUGCCUACUAGCUAUAUGCCUUAUAGGUAGUCUGAUAUGUAUCAACCUGUAUGUAUAAAAUAUUUAUAGGAUAAUCAAGAUAAUUGUUGGACAUUUAUCAUCUAAAUUUAAUAGACUCGCUUUCUUGGUCAGGUGUCUAAGAAUUCAUGAUCACACACUAUUAGAUUUGAUAUGAAAGAUUAAUAACCAAAAUCACACAUUUAUUCUCCAUCUUAAUCACCCGAUGACCAAAAGAACCUAUGGUCCAAGUUCACAUUGGCCUCCCACUAAUCAAAAGAUGUGCAAUCAAACAUCUAUAUAUUCAGGAAGCUAUUGGGCUUUUACAGCAGAGAGAGCCGUUGAAGGAAUUACUCGGCUUACAAAUGGUCAAUUAAACUUUGUCCGAGCAACAAGUGGUUGAUGGUGAUACUCGCACUGAAGACCAAGGUUGUGGUGGUGGCUACCUUGACGGCGCCUUUGAGUUCAUCAAUCAAAACCGUGUGAUUAGCUCCGCAAGGACCGCAACGCCGGUGUUAGACGGUACAUGGAGCACCGAAGGCCCUCAUACAACCAAUAUAACUGGCUAUGAAGACGUGCCGAUAAGCAAUGAGAAGGCCCUGUAAGACUCAUGUUGAGUUGUCAAUUAUUAUGAAUCAAAUUAUUUAAAAGGCAAAUAACUUGAUCUUCAAGAUAUUUGACUUUUAACGUAAUUCAAUAUUGGUUAGUAAGAAUUAUGGAACCAAGAUAUAUUAGUUAACUAAUUGAAACCCUAAUUAAGUAAGACAUAAUUGUAUAUGCCUUCGUGGGACACCAUUAAGAUUAAAUGGUGAUUUGGUGUAUUCCUCCAAUUACUAUAACCAGUGAGAUUGGAGGAACCCUAAUCACUAUAAUAAGGGUGUCCCUGCUUUCAGAACACACAUUCGAUUCCGUGCAAACCCUAUUAUUGCUGAAACACUUUCGCUUGUUGAAAGUAGAAGACUCUUUCCGCAAGAGUCAUGUCUUCCGUAUGCUAAAGAUAAGUAAAUUGUAAUUAAUUUAUUGUAAUUUUGGUUUAUCAAAUCUGUAAUCCUAAUGUCUUGUUUUUCUUAUGAUUUCAGAAAUUUCUUACAAAUCCUUCUCAAGGCUUGCUAAUCUACCUAUUUCUGUUUUUCAUUGAUGUCGGAGAAGAAGAUUUCAUGUCAGUCCUAUAACAGUGGUCAUUAGAGGGUAUGUGGACUAACCACCGACCAAUGUGUUUUCGAUAUUAGUCAAGGGAUAGGUGUUGAUGGAGAACAUACAUGGUAAAAGUAUACCGCAAGUGAUGUUUUCUCAAUGAAAUAAGAACAUGUGCAACUCUGGCGCAAGUGGUGUUUCCGCUUUUAAUUGCUCUGACGCAACUCUGGUCGCACAAAGUAUGCAUUAGCAGUUACUAAAAUGUCAACUGUAGGUCUGAGAGCAAGUCCACCCCUAAGGACUUUGUGCCAACACCCAGCCCAUUUAUCCACUUCAGUGAACAGUAACAGACUUCAAUGAACAGUAAUAGGCCAAUGAAUCUCCACCCCUAAAAAAAUGCGUUGGCACCCAGUGAAAAAAUGUGCUGGCACAAACGAUCUCCAUCCCUACAAAAUGCGCUAGCACCCAGCCCAUUUAAAAUAUUUUUAAAUUUUUUCUAAAAAAAUAAAAUAGUUUUAAUUUCGGGUAGGAUUUUUAACCAAUCUCGUCACGCCACAUGUCAUUAUCCGAACAUACUAUUUUGUGAAUAGAUUUCCACUAAGAUUUUCAACCAAUCCCGAUGCGUCACGUGUCACUUCCGUUUUACAAUAAUUUAGCCAAGAUUUUGAUAAGAUUUUCAACCAAUCACGUCAUGCCACGUGUCAUUAUCCGAACAUACUAUUUUGUGGAUAGAUUUUCAAUAAUAUUUUUUACCAAUCCCAACACGCCAUGUGCCACUUCCGGUUUACAAUAAUUUAGCCAAGAUUUCGAUAAGAUUUUCAACCAAUCACGUAGUGCCACGUGGCAUUGUCCAGAACCUCAUCCUUUCUUUUUUUGUCCAUAUAAACCCUACAACCCUACAUCCAUCCUCACACCAAGCUCAAUCCUUCUUUUUAGCUCAGAAUCCAUGUUCAUCAUUUUCAAAUCUUGAGUUCUUAUUACAAUGUCUUCUUCAAGGAGAGUGUAAACAGUUGUAGGAGCAACAGAAAAGGUUGUUGGCACAACAGGCAGAAUUGGCCAAUCUUGAGGAAGGUGGAGGUGGAGAUGAGGCUUUCUUCAUGGAGGAGGAUAAGGAUGAUCACCAUUUAAGGCAGAGGGCCUCACAUUCCCGUCGUGUCAUGGAAGCCGUGGGUCAGAUAGCCAAACCAAGACGUGCUGCAAACCUCGAUAGAAAAAGGGAAAGAUGAGGUAAAGAUCUCUUGGAAGAUUAUUUUAUUCCCAACAGCAUAUUCCCUUAUCAUGUUUUUAGAUGUCGUUUUAUAAUGCAAUGAAAUUUGUUCGACAAAAUCAUAAGUGCUAUUUGCAACCAUGAUCCAUACUUUGUGUAAAAAGAUGAUGCUUUUCAUGUUCUAGAUCUUAUUCCCGAGCAAAAAAUUACGGCAUCCUUGCGAAUGCUUGUAUAUGGAGCAUCUGCAGAUCAAGUGGAUGAGAUCGCGAGGAUAGGAAGAACAACUGUUCUGGAGUCCCUAAUGCGGUUUUGCUCUACAAUUGAAGCCCUCUACACCAAUGAGUACCUCCGGACACCCACGCCAAGGGACAUGCGAAGGCUUCUAAGGAAUGGUGAGAUGCGAGGUUUCCCUGGCAUGAUUGGAAGCAUCGAGUGCAUGCACUGAACUUGGAAAAACUGUUCAAGUGCGUGGCAAAGAGCUUAUGACGACAAAAAAUGAGCCAAAAGCAUCAUUUUGGAAGCGGUGGCUUCAUUUGAUACAUGGAUUUGGCAUGCUUUUUUUGGUGUUCCAGGAGCUCAGAAUGACCUAAAUAUCCUUGCCCAAUCCCCAGUGUUCGACGAACUGCUGCAAGGAAAAUCGCCGAGAUGCACAUAUUGGGUUAAUGGUACCCAAUACAAGGGAUCAUACUACCUUGCAGAUGGCAUUUACCCAAGGUGGUCAACAUUUGUCAAAACAGUGCCACAUCCACAGACUGAAAAGGAAAAACACUUUGCAAAAUGUCAAGAAAGGUGUAGGAAGGAUGUCGAGUGUUGUUUUGGUAUCCUGCAAGCUCGUUGGGCGAUUGUCAGGGCUUCAGCUAGAAUGUUUGAUGUCGAGGCUUUUCGAUCCAUCAUGAUGACGUGUAUUAUUCUCCACAAUAUGAUCGUUAAAGAUGAGUAUGAUUAUGAUGCCGUCGAUGAAUAUGAGCCGGAUCCGAUGAACAACUCAAGAACACGUAUCUAUUGUGCUCAUGACCAGACUGAAGAUCCCGUGCAACACGAGCCGUUGGAACACGAUGGACGUUACAAUGAAUUGAUCGUUUAGCGGUACACUAAUGUGCAAGAGCCAUACAGGCACGUAACCCGCCAGAAUGACUUGAUUGAGCACCAGUGGGGAUUGCAUGAAGGCAAAGAUAAUUAAAUGAGGUUUGUGGUUGAAGAAUAAAUUGUAUUUUUUUUUUUUUAAGUUUAUGUAAUUCUAUGUAAUGUGUUUUGUUUUUAAGUUUAUUUGGUGAGUUUAUGUAAUCUUAUUUGGUGAGUUUAUGUAAUCUUAUUUCAUGUGUUUAAAUAAAGUACAAAAAUAAAUAAAUAAUUGCAUUAAAAUUGCAUAAUAAAUUAAAUAUAAAUAAAUAAAGUUUUAAAAAUAACAUAAGAAAUUAAAUAAAGUUCAAAAGCAAAAACAUAAAAAUUACAUAAGAAAUUAAAUAAAGUUCAAAAGAAAAAAAAUGAAAAAAACAUAAAAAUUACAUAAGAAAUUAAAUAAAAUUCUAAAAAAAUAAACAAUUACAUAAAAAUUAUACAAAGUCUCUGGAGUUAGGAUAUGUGGUGCUAGGAUCUUGGUUGCCAUGAUUUGUGUAGCUAGAACCCCCUUGACUUGUUUCCGCAUCUCUUGCACGCCUCCUUCACAUGACAUCUCUUUUUUUUUUAUGUCCAAAAAUAUUUUGAAAUGUGGUGUAAAGGUGGAAGAUGAGGGUUAGGUAUUUAUAGAAAAAAAAUAACAUUUUUAAAAAAUUUCUAUAUUUUUUUUUAAUUUUCUGUAUUUUUUAAUAAUUUUUCUAUAUUUUUUUAUAAUUUUUAAUUAAUUUUAAUAUAGUUAAUUAAUAUGGACCAUUGGAUUUGAAAAAUAUUCAAAUCCAAGAGCCAGGGAGUUGCCACAUGGCCAACGGUCAUAUUUCUGAACAUUGGGCCUUUUUUUUAUUUUUUUUUAUUUUUUGUGAAAAAAACGUGGACCAUUAAUCUGUGAUCGAACGGUCCAUUUUAAAAGUCAAAUUUAAAUUUUUUUUUUACCGUUGGAAAUCCAAUGGUCUACAAAAAAUAGUCAUUGGAAAUCCAACGGCUAAAAGUGGGCCACGUUGCCUACUCGGGUUGUGGUAUGAGUGCGCCUGCGCACAGGGCCCCGCAUCUGAAAUGUUGUCGGGCACUCGCGCAACGGGCCCCGUGACAUGCACGCGCCAGCAAACUGCCCGGCUUCUUGGUCAGUCUGUUUUGGGCUGGCCCAGAGACCAGCACGGGCUGGGUGCCAGGCUGUUUUGCGGGCUGGAGUAAAUGGACAGGGUGCUGGGCUGCUUUUUGGACUGGGUGUUAGGCAAUGUCCACUCCGGUGGACUUGCUCUAUUCAUUCCAUCUCCUUCUCUCACAUUCUUUAUUUUGUCUUUCUCUUUUUAUAAAAAAUUAAUAUAAUAUGUUUACAUGGUUUAACUGUGACAGUUCAAAUAUGAGAGAAAGAAAAAUAGAGGAACGAGAAUCCUACUCCCUCGGUUGGUGGGUGCAUCAUUGUCCACAGAAACUAAGGCCUUCUGAGUAAGGAUGUAAUCAAACCGUGGAGCCUAUUCCUUGAUCCCAACCGAGCUGUUGUUGAACUGUUAUCAGCCAGAAGAAACUCCCCGUGCAUGCAUAAAAGGAUUCAAAGAAUCCACAGACUCAAUAGCACUUUCAUUAAUGAGAACAUGAAUGUCCUUUUUUAGGGUAAUGUUAGGGAGACCAAAUUUUUGAACCAAAUGAUGUGUCAUCAAUAGGAAAUAAGCACGUUAAUCAACGCCUAAGUAAUAAUUCAUUCAUUAACAAUCACAUCAUUUAGUUUGCAAAUUUGGUUUAAAGAAUUUGGUGUCCUAACAUUAUCCCCUUUCUAAGCAUGUGACCUGAUAACAAGCCGAUUAGUUAACGCCUUGACAAUCCGUUGUUUUCGGGUCGUUUCCGAUCAGGUUAACAUGUCGUGUAAGAAAUUACCCGGUCUAUCAAAAACUCUCUCAAAAGGAAGACUCUUCAUGGACUUUCUCAAAACUUUUUAUUUCAAUUUUUGGUUUUUAGUUGAAAAUUGUAUGUAGUUACCAUAUAAGAUUAUUUCAAAUGAAUAAAAACAGAAGUAAAGACAAAAUAAUGAUUAUCAAACCAUCCUUAAAUAAAGUAAAUCCAAGAUGGUUGACGAUGCACGAUUACAUUUCAGAACACAAUGUGAACAAAUAUAUUACGCACACAAGGACAAAAGGUAAGCAUCAGGUCCCAAAUUAAAUGGAAUGUCAAUUUACUAAAAAUAAUCUUAUAGGUCUAUAUCAACAUAUUUUCCAAGGCACGUACCACGCUGAUCAUUUUUUGGGGCACUGAGUAGUAUAUAAAUCGUAGAGCAAAUCUACCAUUUCAGUAUAUCUGCUCAUCAUCAUAUCCUUUACCAAAAUCCAGCUUGCUUCUACCACACUAGCUAGCUACCCAUGGAGAUCCUAAACCUGCAGCUAUGGAAGUAUAUGUGCUUGGGCUUGAUCCUCAUGUUGGGAGCUUGGUCCUCUGAAGCCACUUCUCGCAGUCUGAAAGAUGCAUCAAUGUAGCAAUGGUUGGCUCUUUAUGGUCGAGUAUAUAACGACAUCAAUGAGAAGGAAACUCGUUUCAAGAUAUUCAAGGAAAAUGUGGCGUUUAUAGAAUUUUCCAAUAAAGAUGCAAAUAAACCUUACAAAUUAAGUGUCAACCAAUUUGCUGACCUUACAAAUGAAGAGUUCAAAGCCACAAGAAAUGGAUUCAAGGGCCAUGAGUGUUCCACAAAGGCUUCUUCUUUCAAAUAUGAAAAUGUGACCGUACCAUUACCAGCAACAAUGGAUUGGAGAAAGAAAGGAGCUGUAACCCCCGUUAAGGACCAAGGCCAGUGCGGUAAGUACACAAAACCUCUAGCUUCUUGUCAUUAAUUUAGAGAAACACUAUAUAUACAUAUACAUACAUAUAUAUAUAUAUAUAUAUAUAUAUAUAUAUAUAUUCAUCUUUUAUUUUUUCCAUAAUCUGACUACUUUUGAUUCCAAUCAAAAUACAGGAUGUUGUUGGGCUUUUUCAGCAGUAGCCGCCACCGAAGGAAUUACACAGCUUACAACUGGUAACUUGAUCUCUUUGUCUGAGCAAGAGCUCGUUGAUUGUGACACUGCUGGGGAAGACCAAGGUUGUGAGGGUGGCUUUAUGGACGAUGCGUUCCAGUUCAUCCAACAAAAUCACGGGAUUAGCACAGAAACUAAUUACCCCUACAACGGUGUUGAUGGUACAUGUAACACCAAGAAGGAAGCCAUCAUUGCAGCCAAGAUAACUGGCUUUGAGGACGUGCCGGCAAAUAGUGAAAAGGCCCUUCUAACCGCUGUUGCUCAUCAACCUGUUUCCGUUGCCAUCGAUGCUAGCGGUUCCGACUUCCAAUUCUAUUCAAGUGGUGUCUUCACCGGAACUUGUGGAACGAGUCUAGACCAUGGUGUUACCGCUGUUGGAUAUGGCGUGAGUGAGGAUGGGACUAAGUAUUGGCUAGUGAAGAACUCAUGGGGUGCAGAAUGGGGCGAAGCUGGGUACAUAAGAAUGCAAAGAGAUGUUGCUGCAGCUGAAGGACUUUGUGGGAUUGCUAUGUCUGCCUCUUACCCCACAGCUUAGUUAAUUAAAUCAAUGCCUACUAGCUAUAUGCCUUGUAGGUAGUCUGAUAUGUAUCAACCUGUAUGCGUAAAAUAUUUAUAAGAUAAUCAAGAUAAUUGUUGGACAUUUAUCAUCUAAAUUUAAUAGACUUGCUUUCUUGGUCAUCUGGUGUCUAAGAAUUCAUGAUCACACACUAUUAGAUUUGAUAUGAAAGAUUAAAAACCAAAAUCACAUAUUUAUUCUCCAUCUUAGUCACCCGAUGACCAAAAGAACCUAUGGUCCAAGUUCGCAUUGGCCUCCCACUAAUCAAAAGAUUUGCAAUCAAACAUCUAUAUAUUCAGGCAGCUAUUGGGCUUUUGCAGCAGCGAGAGCCGUUGAAGGAAUUACUCAGCUUACAAAUGGUCAAUUAAACUUUGUCCGAGAACAAGUGAUUGAUUGUGAUACCCGCGGUGAAGACCAAGGUUGUGGUGGUGGCUACCUUGACGGCGCUUUUGAGUUCAUCAAUCAAAACCAUGUGAUUACCUCCGCAAGGACCCCAACGCCGGUGCUAGACGGUGCAUGGAACACAGAAGGGCCUCCUACAGCCAAUAUAACUGGCUGUGAAGACGUGCCGAUAAGCAAUGAGAAGGCCCUAUAAAACUCAUGUUGAGUUGUCAAUUAUUAUAAUCGAACUACUUAAAAAGCAAAUAACUUGAUCUUUUAUAUAUUUAAUUUUUAACGUAAUUCAAUAAACCAAGAUAUAUUAGUUGACUAAUUGAAACCCUAAUUAAGUAACACAUGUUGUACAUGCCUUUGUGGGACACCAUUAAGAUUGAAUAGUGAUUUGGUGUAUUCCUCCAAUUACUAUAACAAGUGAGAUUGGAGGAACACUAAUCACUAUAAUAAGGGUGUCCCUACUUUCACAACACACACGUUCGAUUCCAAGCAAACCCUAUUAUUGCUGGAACACUUCCACUUGUUGAAAGGAGAAGAUUCUUUUGUCAUCCGCAAGAGUAUACCAAAGAUGAGUAAAUUGUAAUUAAUUUAUUAUAAUUUUAGUUUAUCAAAUCCGUAAUCUUAAUGUCUCGUUGUUUUUCUUAUGAUUUCAGAAAUUUCUUACAGAUCCUUCUCAAGGCUUUGCUAAUCUACCUAUUUCGGUUUUCAUAUUUCAAAUAAAUAAAACAAAACUAAAGACAAAAUAAUGAUUAUCAAACCAUCCUUAACUAAAAUAAAAAUCCAAGAUGGCUGAGGAUCCACGAGUACAUUUCAGAACACAAUGUGAACAAGUAUAUUACGCACACAAGGACAAAAGGUAAGCAUCAGGUCCCAAAUUAAAUGAAAGGUCAAUUUACUAAUAAUAAUCUUACAGGUCUAUAUCAUCAUAUUUUCUAAGGCACGUACCACGCUGAUCAUUUUUUGGGGCACUGAAAUUGCUAUAAACGCCAUUCUCUCUACCACCUUGAGUUGUAUAUAAAUCGCAGAGCAAGUCUACCAUUUCAGUAUAUCUGCUCAUCAUCAUAUCCUUUACCAAAACCCAGCUUGCUUCUGCUACACUAGCUAGCUACCGAUGGAGAUCCUAAACCUGCAGCUAUGGAAGUAUAUGUGCUUGGGCUUGAUCCUCAUGUUGGGAGCUUGGUCUUCUGAAGCCACUUCUCGCAGUCUGCAAGAUGCAUCAAUGUACGGGAGAUACAAGCAAUGGUUGGCUCGUUAUGGUCGCAUAUAUAACGACACCAAUGAGAAGGAAACUCGUUUCAAGAUAUUCAAGGAAAAUGUGGCGUUUAUAGAAUUUUCUAAUAAAGAUGCAAAUAAACCUUACAAAUUAAGUGUCAACCAAUUUGCUGACCUUACAAAUGAAGAGUUCAAAGCCACAAGAAAUGGAUUCAAGGGCCAUGAAUGUUCCACAAAGACUUCUUCUUUCAAAUAUGAAAAUGUGACCGUACCAUUACCAGCAACAAUGGAUUGGAGAAAGAAAGGAGCUGUAACCCCCGUUAAGGACCAAGGCCAGUGCGGUAAGUACAUAAACGUCUAGUUUCUUGUCAUCAAUUUAGAGAGACACUAUAUACAUAUAUACAUAUACAUAUAUAUAUAUAUAUAUAUAUAUUCAUCUUUUAUUUUUUCCUUAAUCUAACUACUUUUGAUUCCAAUCAAAAUACAGGAUGUUGUUGGGCUUUUUCAGCAGUGGCCGCCACUGAAGGAAUUACACAGCUUACAACUGGUAAAUUGAUCUCUUUGUCUGAGCAAGUGCUCGUUGAUUGUGACACCGCUGGUGAAGACCAAGGUUGUGAGGGUGGCUUGAUGGACAAUGCGUUCCAGUUCAUCCAACAAAAUCACGGGAUUAGCACAGAAGCUAAUUACCCCUACGACGGUGUUGAUGGUACAUGUAACACCAAGAAGGAAGCCAUCAUUGCAGCCAAGAUAACUGGCUUUGAGGAUGUGCCGGCAAAUAGUGAAAAGGCCCUUCUAACCGCUGUUGCUCAUCAACCUGUUUCCGUUGCCAUCGAUGCUAGCGGUUCCGACUUCCAAUUCUAUUCAAGUGGUGUCUUCACCGGAACUUGUGGACGAGUCUUGACCAUGGUGUUACCGCUGUUGGAUAUGGCGUGAGCGAGGAUGGGACUAAGUAUUGGCUAGUGAAGAACUCAUGGGGUGCAGAAUGGGGCGAAGCUGGGUACAUAAGAAUGCAAAGAGAUGUUGCUGCAGCUGAAGGACUUUGUGGGAUUGCUAUGUCUGCCUCUUACCCCACAGCUUAGUUAAUUAAAUCAAAACCUACUAGCUAUAUGCCUUGUAGGUAGUCUGAUAUGUAUCAACCUGUAUGUGUAAAAUAUUUAUAAGAUAAUUAUGAUAAUUGCAUGGGUAUUUCUCAUCUUAAUUUAAUAGACUCGCUCCCUUAAUAUUGAUUCUCAAGAACUCGUAAUCACACACCUUUAAAUUUGAUAUGAAAGAUUAAAAUUAGGACACCAAAAGUACUCAUUUAAAUUUGAUACUGGUUCUCAAGAACUCGUAAUAACAUAUGGUCCAAGUUGGCAUUGCUUUCAAACAUCCAUUCAGGCAGCUGUUGGGCUUUUGCAGCAGCGGGAGCCGUAGAAGGAAUUACUGAGGUUACAAAUGGUGAAUUAAACUUUGUCCGAGCAACAAGUGGUUGAUUGUGAUACCGGCGGUGAAGACCUAGGUUGUGGCGGUGGCUACCCUGACGGUGCGUGCUUUUCAGUUCAUCAAUCAAAACCACGAGAUUAGCUCCGCCACACCGGUGUCAGACGGUACAUGCAACACCCAGGCCCCAUCACACAACCAAUAUAACUGCCUAUGAAGGCUUGUUAAUCUACCUGUUUCUGUUUACAUUGAUGUUGGAGGAGAAUAUUUCACGUCAGUCCUAUAAAAAAAGGUCGUUAUAGGGGUAUGUGGACUAUACAUCGACCAAUGAUUUUCCGCCAUUGGUCAAGGGAUCAGUGACGAUGGAGAUUUUACAUGGCAGGUAAACCGCAACAUGAUGUCCCGUGUCAAUGAAAUCAGGACAUGUUAACAAAAUUUUCCGUGUCUUUUUUUAUUGGCGCAGGACGCCACUGGGACAACGUGCCAGUGCCAUAUACGCCCUAUAUUAUCGCGUCCAAGAUUGUAUCCGCAAAAGAAGCACCAAUUUUAGAAAUGCAAAAAUUGAAAAAUACAUCCGUAAACCAAUAACCAGACCUCUCUAAGGAACCACCAUCCGCAGUAACAUUAUUAAUAUUUUAACUACUUAGUACUACCACAAAAUCAUAACACAACUUGCAAUGUGAUGAAGUACGCAUGAUCAGGAAAAACAGAAUAAACUAGGACAAACAACGACACACCUUAAAUAUGGAACCAAACGGAAUUCAUAGGCCAGCUCAGGCAGUAGGUUCGUCGAGUUUUAGUUGCUCUGACGCAACUCUGGUCGCACAAUCUGCAUCAGCAGUCACUGAAAUGUCAACUGUAGGUCUCAGUUCAGCGCAUACUUUGAUGGCUCCAUGCACUGGAUCUGACAUGAAGUUGCUGAUGAGGUCUCGGUUGAUGGGUGCACCAUUGUCCACAGAAACUAAGGCCUGCUGAGUAAGGAUGUAAUCAAAUCGUGGAGCCCAUUUCCUUGAUCCCAACCGAGCUGUUGUUGAACAG